GCAUUGAUAAUAAUUAGUCUCUGUGAAAUACGACCUUGCUUGCUACUGUACACAAUUGCACCCGUACACUAGCGGCGUGUCAAAUAAAAUAGCGAACAGGGAAAUAGAGCUAAGGCGUGAGGUUUAGCUUUCGAAAAAAUUGCGAGCUCAUCGAUCUCCGUUGUACCGGUUCAUCAAAUCAUUUUUCCAAUUUCCGGCGAUAUCACUGUCGGAUCCCGAUCAGACCAGAUUCACAAACCCCAAAGAUUUCCCAAUUUUCACCGCCAAAAUCCCCUAAUCAUCUCCAAUCGAAUUCCUUAGUACAGGUAACUGUUCAUCAGUUAAAUUUUUUGGAUUCAAUGUUCCAGAAUCUGCCCCAUUUUUUCUCUAAAAAUACUCCGAUCGAGAAAUGGGAAAUCCUCUAGAUCCGAUCCAAAAUGUGGCAAAAGGAAAUACAUCCGGCAAUGCUGGCCCCUUUUAUCUCGGUCUGAAAAUCUCAAAAUCCUAAUCGAAAAUAUCCUUAGGGGAAUGCAAGAAUUUCUGCCCAAAUCAAGAAAAACCCCCAAUUCCUAAAAUCUGGGCUCAUUCUUCAAAGAUUCUCUACCGCAGCAGCCCCCAACUUCCGGCAGGGACGUGUGCGGUUGAAAUCGAAGUUCCAACACAGACCGUCACUGUCUCUUGAAGAACCUCAAAGAAUCAUACCCCAAAAAUCCAAAAACUCCAAAACAGAUCCGCUGCAAAAUCAAUUCUCCUGGAGCCAAAUCGAAGUUACAGCGAUCCCGGCGAGUCCGCCGACACAGCACCUCGCGCUGCACGGCUCCGCUGCGGGUCAAGGGCGUGAUUCAUUGGAUCUCCCAAAUUCACGACUGAGCCUUCAACUCUCUCUCUCUCUCAAUAAUUUUAUUUGAAUUUUCUUACAACUGAGGACAUCGUAACUAACCGAUGGCUCUCCUUCUCGAUGAUGUUCGAGGUUUGCAGAGCCCGCGCUAUUGGGAAUUGGGGAGUCUCAUAAAUCGGGCCCUAAAGCUUCUCAGUCACUGAACUUUCAACACAACCCAGGAACCUUUAUUCAAGGUUCGAGCGUAGGUCAGAGUGUGUGGGCCUUAGUCUUCAAUUCCGGCCAGAAGAAGGUGGGUUCGGCAACGGAUCGGGGUCUCAUGCCAGCUGAGUUUAUGAGUGCGGUGCUGAAUAUCAUCUGCUCUAGCUGCCGCAGCAGAAUAGCAGUCUCCCUGACACUGAUCGCCUGGGCACACAACAAUUCUCUAUCCUAAAUUGCAAAUUUCGGCCGUUAGUCGGUGGCUCUCUGAUCUGUUGCUUUGAGUUUCCGGAUCCUAUCUGAUCAAUGGUGGUGAUGGCUGAUCUUGACAGCUCUCUGUUCCUGCUUCGCGCAGCCUACAUCAGGGGAAAAUCGAAGAAGAUCUAUGGGCGUUUCACAGUCGCAGUUAUGACCAAGCCACUUGAUUACUGGCCCAAUUUGAUUGGGAAGACAUCAAUUUAUCAAAGAUUUCAUUCUUCUAUUUUGUGCUGCUUAUCUUGCUUGGAUUUUCUUGUAAUCCUAUCUGAUCCGCUGUGCAAAGGUACAGCAAUGCCUGAGGCAGGGGGUAGGGCUUGAUCUCCUCGAGGAAUUGUUGAUUGAUAACAUGGAGCUCAGCGAAAUAUUAUCCGAGCACGGCGGCGAUAUGGAGUCGAAGAGUAAGUAUAGCUUCCAUCAUAAAAAUGGGAAGACGAGGUCUGCUAUUUGAUUUUGGAAAUUGUGUGCGGGAUAUGCUGGUAAUUGUUUACUCGAGAGAUUAUAUGAUUCGUGAUGUUUUAGUGGUCCUAGCAAAGAUCAAAGACUUAAAUAUCGAGCUUUGUGUAGUCUUCUGCCUGGGGCUUAGAUGAACAUAUUGAUGCAUCAGAAUGCUUGAGUUCUCCAAGUUUAGUAUGCCUAGUUAAUGGUUAACAGUUGUGUGUGAUGUGAAAAUCAUUUAAGAUGUUUGUCAAUUGCUAUUAACAAGCUUGCAUGUUUUAGCUAAUGGUUGAACAUAUACUACAAUUAUAUGUGUUUGAUUUAAAUUUUUGACUAUGCUGUCGCGUGUGGUAAUCAAUUGGCCUUAGUUUUGUUCCUUUUAAAAAAGGAUAAUGAUCGAAGAUUUUAUUAUAUUCGCAUGAUUUGAUUUAGUUCAAUCAUACCGCUUGGACUUGUGAAGCAAAAAUGUCUUUGUAGACAAUUUGAAUUUGAUUAUAGGGUCAAAAUUUAAAAUACCCACCUCUAUAACUUAUCUAUCAAAAAUACCCAUUUUCAUAAAAUAUAUAUCAAACCUAUCCAAACUACCCUUUAACAAAUCCUCUUAGUAAUUCAUCAUAAUACAAUUUCAUGUUCAAAUCGAAAAUAGUCGGUGAAGACUUAUCAGGCCUAACAUGCUUCCGUGAUAAUUCAAAAUUAAUCUAAACAUAAACCAACAUUAUACCUUUAGUCGGAUGGUCUUCUUCAGGAGUUAGUGCUUGUUGCGUUUUACGGACCGUCUGCCCCCAAGGCUCCGUCCAACCACGCGCUCGCAAGGGAUGGUUGCAACCUUCUUCCUUCACUAAGUUCCGACUUAUAAUAUUUUGUUGGAAAAUUUUCUACUAAACUGGAAAGUUGAGCAAAAACAAAGUUCCGAAUUAUAAACUAUUUAAUUUAUUUCAUAAAAUCUUCCUCAGGGAGGAGACAAACUUGUCUAGCUACUCAUUAGUAGCUAAUACUUGUAUACAUAAAAUUAAAAAAAACUAAAACUAAAACUAAACUUUGAAAACUAAAAAUUUAAAUUACAAUGAUAGAUUUCUAGAGAGAGGUGUGUUGUUGAAGUUUUAAAUUUUUCGUGGAUCCUUCUUCUCUCCAGAGCUUGUGGUUUUAUAGAGGUUGAUCCCUCUAUAAGUCUUGGUGGUGCCUGGAUUCUUUCACGAGGCCAGCUCAUGGAUUGUGACUGCCACCUUCCUUUGUCGGUAUGAUUGCCGACACAGCUAGUGCCUUCACAUGAGCUGACUUCCUUUUAUCUUUUAUGAUAAUUUUGGUGUGACCAGCUGCUUUUCUUUCCACUCAACUUGUCUUCUGCCUUUUGGUAGUGAUUUCCUUAGAAUUACCCAUUUUUUUAUCUAGUGGGUAAUCAAUCUGCAUUCUUUUCCACCCACUUUUGUCGUUUUUCUUUAGUGGGUGUCUUGUCCCGAGUCACAUGAUCUCUUUUCUUGUCGGGCUUCUUAUUUUUUGGUGCGCGAGGUGUCGUCCACGCGGAGUCUUGUGUUCUUCAUACUCGUCGGACCGGAACUUUUUUUAUCGGUUUGGAAGGAAACCUUGGAAAACUCGGUUCUUUCUGCGUGGGACAUUCCAUGCAGACGUGCUCAUUCCAAUGGCCAAGUGAAUAUUCAGAACUUGCGACGAACCUCUUGCUCCCCGCGAUCUUGUUUUGCCAAAGUGUUACCUUUUUUCUUCAAAGGUUUUUCGGCAUACUUGUAGUAGUUCCUGUCAUGGUGUUUAACAGGAAUGAUCCCAAAUUCGAAUUCUGAGAGAACUUGAAUCUGAUUAACUUUGUCCAUCUCGUGAGACAGACCCAAAUCCCCAUGCUCGCCUUUGGAAAUUGUUCUUCCGUAAAUGUGGCGACAAUAGGACUGAUGGUCAGAGCCUUAUUCGGUUCAAGGCUUGAUUGUCGGGCCGUCGAAGCUUUAUGAAAUGGAAAGCCUCAUGUUGCCCUUUCCUGAGGUUUGGCGCUGCACUAAAGAAAUACAGUUCCAAAACAUCCCCUCUUUGAGGGACUUUGUUUGCCCAGCUCGAGACUGUUUCUUGGAUCCACUUGGUAGACCCUUGAUUUCGUUGAACGCCGGGAAUAGUAUAAACGAGGCCAGUGCCCCAAAUUCAUACAUUCCUUGACAUCUUGUGAUUGGCUCCGGUAGUCAUCCAACUCGAGGAUAUUUUCCCGACAUCAACCCACUAUUUCGGAUUAAUGCCCUUUCUUUGUUAGUUUCUCCCAUCUGGACUGGUAAACCUGCCAAUUGAGAUACUUCAAAAGAUCAGUUAACCUUAGAUUUGCCCGUCAUUGGCCUAAGGUUAAUCUAUCCCUCUUUAACCCCAGAGGUGCGGGUUGACAUGAUGGUUCAGGGUGUGAACCCUUAACAUCAUUUUUCUCUGAGUCUUGCUUGGAAGCCAUAACCUCAGAGCUCGUGCUAGGGGUACUUGAAUCCCCUGCUACAGGUAAUCCCCCUGACGGUAAUACCUUCUUUAAUCAGAGGUUCUCUGAUUGCGCGAAGGAGCGGUCCUUGGGUUGCUUUAUAAGAUUUAUCAUCUUCUUAAGGCAUUCUCGUAUGCGGUCAGACACUUUGGCUUCAUCAGCCGACUGUAUCCUUCCAGCUUGUUUGACAUGGAGUACACACUCUUGCCAUUCUGUUGUAGCAUCUCCAUGUUUUCUUGAGCUGCCUCUGGUUUAUAAUGAUGGCGUCACCUCAGUUGGCUCCAUCCCUUGUUAAAAUCUGCAAGAACAUUAUCAUCAGAUUUCAGAAUGACAAUAUCAAAAUCAUAAUAUUGGCAUUCAGCUUGCCAUCUAAGUAAUCUAGCCUUUUCAGGUUUAGAUUAAUUUUCUUGGUUAAGAAACCUUAACGUUAGUGUUAUCACUUUCAAAAUGAAUUUCUUUGCAAGUAAGAAUAGGGCCAUUUCUUGAACGCCUUUCUGACUGAUAGACUCCUUCUCGUUGAUGUGCCAUCGCACGCCUCACUGUCGGAAAAGAGACCACUACAGUAUCUCAUGGUUCUCUCCAUAAGGGGAUUUUAGUGAGCACGGCUGCCCACAAAAAUCACUGCUCGUGUAUAGGACUAGUUCAUCCUCUCUUGUGGUAUUGAAACUUUGGGAGAUUUUUGCAAAUCUCUUUUAGCUUUUCAUACCCUCCGAUGUCCUCCUUCCAUAGAAUGGAACAUCUUUCUUCAAUAGUGGACUGAAGAUUUUCCUAUGCUCUGCAAGGUUUUUGAUGAACAUCCCUGCAAAGUUUACAACUCCAAGAAAGCUUUGAAGCUGCUUCUUUUCCUUGAGAUCCUCUGGAAAUUUCUGGACCUUUUCCACAUAUGAUCUUGUAGAAUUAUCCAGACUCAUCAUCUAUUCCCAGAAACUCCAUCUUCUGGUUGCACGACUCCUUCUUUUCAGACAGCACCAAUCCUUUUGUUGACAACCUCCGCAAAGAUUUCCAGAUGCUGACAUGUUCAUGAAUUUUUUUGAUGCAAUAAGAUUCAUCAAUAUAAACAAACAUGAAUGAAGAAUAAUCUUAAAAAGAUUAUCCAUCUUCUUUGGAAUAUCUGAGGCGCGUUGCUAGCCCCAUUGGCAUGACAUUCCAGACAUAGUGUCCUUGUGGAGUUGAGAAUGUGUGAACUUCUUACUCCUCCUCCAUCGAAUCUGGUAAAAUCAGAUUUGCAGUCAAACUUUGAGAAUACUUUGCACUUCUGAUGCAGUUGAUAGGUGUUCUUCUGGGAUAAAAUAUCUCGAACUCAAGAAUGUCAUUAAUUCCUUUGUAAUUAAUGACCAAUCGGCUUUCUCGUUUGAUCUCCCCAUGAUUUCUACCAGAAAUCCAGAUGCUGUAAGGCGAUUCCCUGGUUCGAUCAACUUAAAUCAAGGUUUCCUUAUUAUGUCCUCAUAUCCUGCUGAUCUUGGUGUUCAUCAGGAUAGGUCUGAACCUUACAACUCAUCUCCUUUCCAGUUUUAACUUUUAAUGUAGCUUUGAGCUGGUUCUUGUCCCACCAUGCCAAAGGAUCCUCGUGAUAACACUUUUGGAUUCCCUUUUGACGUCGGCUAUGGACACUUUCUUCUCCCUAAUAUCUUUGUUGAUAUAAGGAAACUUUGAGGAUUGUGUUUCUUCUGGAGAGAUCUGAAAUCCCUCGGCUCUGCAUUUGAGCAGAACAUCUCUGAAUCUCUUGAUCUUCAUUUGUGGUCUCGAGUCUGCCAUCAUCACCACUCUUGUUGUGGAAUUUGACUGGCAUCGAUCGAUUAAAAGCUCCUUCGAGCCUUUGUACAAUGAUUUUGUGAUCACAAUUGAUUGUGAACACAAGCCGCCUGGCUUCAUUGUCCUGUGUAUAUCUUUUGAAAGUUUGCAGAAAAUUGUUGCCGAACAAAAUAUCUGCUCCUAUAUCAUAGAAAUAAAUAGGUGGAGUUUGAACCUUGUACCAAGGUGUUUGUCCUGCUCUGUCGAUCAAUAUUUUUGUCUGUUUUACUCCCUUUGAUAAGAGCAAAAUCUUUUUCGAGAAAUCCCUUCCCGUAAUUCGAGGUAGUUCUUCUUCAACUUCUGCUGGAAAGACUCCUCGUUUUGCUGUACAGAUUCCUGCUCCUGAAUCAAUAUAAGCAGCAAAAUAUUCUGCUUUGAACUUCUCGUAUAACAUCCCUACAGAGAUGUAUAUCGAGAAUGAACUCGUCAUUAGAUCAACAACCUUUUUCCACCGAUUGUGAUCUCCAUUCCACUUGCUUUCCUUGACCAUGGUUGAUAAUUGUCAAGGAAAUUCUGUCCUAAGAUCAAGACGUCAGCUUCUUGUCCGGCUUUGCCUUUGACUUAGAUUUCAAAGCCUCCAAUCUCCAGAAAUCUGAUAUAUCGAUUGCUUUCUGGAUUCGUCAAAUAAUACAAUGUGUCGCAAGGAAACUGAUUUUUCCUUUCGAUUGUAUCAAACUUGGUGAAAACCGCUCUCCAUCCUUUGGGGCAUUUGAGUUUUACUCUUAUGCCUUGAGCUGGUAUUUCCUGGAUCGUCUUUCUCUCGUCGGAAUGAGAGAAACUUUUUUCUAAAGGCCUUGAGGUCAGCCUAUCUCCUUGGAACGAUAGCCUUGGUGCUCCCAAUUUGAGACUUUGAUUAUGUCUCAGCACCUGCUUAUCUCCAACUUAGAUGUCAAUUUCCUUUAUUAUGGGAAUUUCAACUCGGUCAGGACUUACUGCCUUGGCCACUUCUUUGAAUAUUUCUGAGACUUCAAUAAAAUUCUUCCCCAUAAAUAGAUCCGUGUGAUGGAAAUUUGAUAGGACAUACGAUACUUGAUAUGUAAUCGAGUAUGGCCUAUUUCUUCCCGUCAAUAGAUAUUUCCUCGUGUAGUCCUGGUAGAGUGUCAGGGCUCGAAUGAAGGAUGAAUCUUGAAGAUUAUAAGCGAUCUGUGGAUAUAAUUCUGUUAUAAUCUUCUUGGCGUAGAGAUUGCCUGAGAAGGCUCCCAGUACUGCAUCUGUUGGAUUUGUAAUCCUCUUGUUACAUAUUGCAAUAUCAAUUGGUGUAUAUGUCAUUGGUUGAAGUACGGACUUGAUUACCAAUUGGAUUGCUCCAAUAUGAAUCCAUUUCAUCGUUUUAGCGACUUCUGGCUUCAUUUUUGAGAGAUCCCUCCGCACAUCUUCAGUUGGAAUUAAUUGGAUCUCUACCUGGUUGUUUGUUAUCUCAAUUAUAAGCGCCAGCUCUCGACUCGUUGUGCCGAAGAAGACAUGAUGCUUCAUUUUGAGGAUAUAUCUUCGAACUGAUAUACGGGUAUCAGUUCCUAGUUAUAGAGGGCGUCUUCGAUAUCCGGUGUGGAUUCGAAUCUUCUUAUCUCUCUUUUCUCAUUGUCAGGGCAAUUGGUAGAAAUAUGCCCUUUUGCACCGCAUGUCCAACAGUUGGAAUCUUUGAAACUUUCAUUUAUUUUGGCUUGGGUACGCCUGGAAGUUUUUCUCGCUGGGAUUCGCUUUUGAGAUAAAAAUCGGCUCCUCGCUGGUCCGCUCCGUUGGCCUGAUUUGUAGGAGCAUGCCUUUUGUCUGGUCCACAUAGUUCUUGGUUUCCAAGAACUUCGCCUUAUUCUUGGUCUUUUUUCAUAGGGUUGAUACCUAUGUUUCUUCUUUCUCUUUUGUUGAUACAGCAACUCGGCUCCAAUCUCUGUUGAAAGGUCAAGAUUGUUGCACAUCAAUGGAGAUUCUUUAUUGAGCCUCCUCAAUUUCUUGAGAUUUCUCUGGUUCGCCCCCUUCUGCCACCAUUCGGACAGCUUCUUGUAAACAUAGGACAUCCUUCUUGAUGCACUAUCAAAUGGAUAUUCUCCUAGUGAUACAUACUCGUUGAUGAGCAUUUCUCUCCAUGGACUUGGAAACUUUGUAAAAAAGAGGUCCCUGGCUGUCUGAUCAUCAACUAACCCUAUAUGAACAUAUAGCGCAUAUAGACGCAAAAAUUCAUCAAGAGCUUUUGGCUCUAGCACCACCAAUCUUAGAUUGUAAAGUGCCUGUCGAUANUCCAAUCUCUGUUGGAAGAUAAAAGUUGUUGCACAUCAAUGGAGAUUCUUUAUUGAGUCUCCUCAAUUUCUUGAGAUUUCUCUGGUCCGUCGCCUUCUGGCACUAUUCGGACAGUUUUUUGUGGACAUAUGACAUCCUUCUUGAUGCACUAUCAAGUGGAUAAUCUCCUGGUGACACGUACUCGUUGAUGAGCAUCUCCCUCCAUGGACUCGGAAACUUUGUGAAAAAGAGGUCCCUGGCGGUUUGAUCAUCAACUAACCCUAUAUGAGUAUAUAGGGCAUAUAGGCGCAGAAAUUCAUCGAGAGCUUUUGGCUCCAGCACUACCAAUCUUAGAUUGUAAAGUGCUUGUCGAUAUUUUUUGCGCUUCUCCUCUGCUGAUGCUUCAAAGAAACCCAUUCCAAGAAAAUGGAUUUUAACCUGGUGUGCGGCAUUUUCGAGGAUCUCCAGAGCUGAUUCCUUAUUGAAUAACUCAUUCUUGCCCUCCGUUGAUGCCUUAUCCCAAAAUUGUUUUGCCAUUCCAGCAAAACUUGCCUCGAAGAUUUUGAUAAAUUCAUCUUUAUCAUAUUCUAUCGUGGCAAUCACAACCUUCAUAGCUGAAGCCCAGUCGUCGAUGAGAACUUCCCAAUCUUUAAAGCUGGCUUCAUCGAGGUUGAGAAUCAAUCCAUAGGGGUGGAUUGGUUCAAGUGUGGCCUUCCCUACAGGGGUAUCCUGCAUCUUGGGCCGGCGUCUUCUGGUUCGUUGAUAAUGGCUCGAUUCCUCACGAGCACCCUUUCUCCUUUGGAUGAUUCUUCUUGUGGAUGCUCUGUUUUGGGCACCUCACCUCCUUGGUUCAUCUUUAGAUCUACCAUAUUUAAGUUAGCAAAUGAUUCUGCUAACUCUUGUAGAUCUUCUAAUCCGAUUCGAUCAAGGUUAUUCAUGUUUUUUUCCUUUCACGAUUCGAAUUAUAUCCUCCGGCUGCAACUCCUUGGGCGCUGCAUUAAGUGGUAGUGGAUACGUCGGGUCUUUGGACCAUGUAUUCCGAAGUCUUCCGGAACAUGGUUUCCGCCGUUCGAUGUCUUCCACCUUCUUCUGGAUAUCACGCAAGAGUUUUAAGAUUUCCUCUUGUUUGAGUGAUAUCUGGCUCAUCUCCAUCGGUAGAUUAUAUAGCUUGAUGCCAUAAUAUUCCACCGUUCUUUGGAUCUCCCGCAAGUUGACAUUGUCGGAAGAGUUUGGUUCGAUCUUUUGAUAAGCUGGAAAAGCUGUUCCAGCUUUGUCCUUCUGCUCCAUUAGUCGUGGGACUGAUGGGCGUCAUCUCUUGUUCGUUCAAUCGCCAUUCUGAUUCCGACGAUUCCCAACAGGUGUUCAUGGUAGGAUUGAAUACCCGUGAUAAUGUCACGAAUAUUCUCGACAUCUUCUCCUCGCCGAAUGUUGGUUACGAGGGCUCGAUUGUUCCAGUUAAGCUCGUCUAUUAGACAAGUGGUUUCUCUCUCCAAAUUUUGAAGAGAAUUCCUGUAUGGUACACAUCUCGGACAAUCGUCCGGAUCCAUAAUUUUUUAAUGGAGUCUCCUCCCACACAUAGGUUAAUUAUAAAAUAAAUUAAAUAUAAAAUAAUCUCCUCUAUAAAAACCCGCUCUGAUACCAAUUUUGAAAGCGCGGAUUAAUAUAUAAGAUGAAGUAUUAAGAGAGAUAUAGUAUAAGGGUAUGAAUGGUAUUUCACUAUGAAGUGGGUAUUUUUCAUAGAUAUUUUAUAAGGGUGGGUAGAUUUGAUUGAUAUAUUAUGAAAGUGGGUAUUAAAAUUAUUUAACCCUUUUUAAAAUAUCCAAAUUAAAAUAGUAAAAAUAAAAAGUAUCCUUGUAUAUAAAAAUCAUUAAAAAAAAGUCCUACUGAGUAAAAUCCCACUAACUAUUUUACUCCUACAAUCUACAAUUAACUUUUGACCUUAUUGUGAAUUCUAGCUUUAAAACUCGAAUUCACAACUAAGACUAUGAAUUAUAAUUUGGGUAAAUAUCACUUUUUGGCCCAUCAUUUGGGCGUUUUCUCAACUAUAUCUCACCCUAAGCAUAUUUACAAAACAAUACCCAUCGUUUCAAUUUUUUUUUCUUAUUUGUGGCCCGUAAAUUUUUUUUGGCUACCGGUAAAUGACGUGUUCCGGCCAAGUGCCAUGUAACUAUUAUACGUCAACAUUAAAAAAAAAAAGGUGGUGAGUUCAAUAAUUUCACCUUUAGAUCAUUAGUAAAAGGAUUCACCUGCAGUGUGUUGGUAAAUCGGUAGAGAUAGAACGAGAACAAUAAAUGCGAGAGAAUAGAGGAUUGUAUUAAAGUUUGAAUUGCAUGUAUUAACAAUGACAAGCAUAUCUUCUAUUUAUAGACGUCCAAUACAAGAGCAGAGUAGUAAUUGUACAAUUGAAAGUGACCCUAGCGGUUAGAGAGAAUCUUUCUGAGGUCGUUAUCAGCCGUUGGGAGUUGCCCACCUUUUCCAGUGCUGCGUCUAUUUUCCAGCUCUGAGACGCCCCUCCUGGCUGUGUCAGCUCUGAUCAAGUUCACAGCAUUGCUCCUUCCCUUUUUACAUCAGCCCUGUCACACAUAGUACCUGAAUUCUCCCGAAAUGGCCCUACUGCUUCUAUCCUUUACGUUUUCCCUGAUUUGUACUAUUCAGACCCUUAGUUCUGCCUUUGUACCCAGCGCUGAGGAUCCCAAUGCUAAUAGAUUUGUGUCACGCAUGUUUUACUCCUCAUCAGCUACUCCCCCUAGUCUGAUUGAGCGUUCUUGUUGCUUACGCUAAAUCAGUUCCUGUAUUUCUUCUUUUCGUGUCCAGGACUGCCAUUUUUCCUCUGUCGCGCAUUAAAUGCCUGCCAGUUGAGUGGGGCCCAACUCAUCUAAUCAACCGUCCUUCUUCAGAAAAGGCGCCUCUUCAGUUGCAACUUCCGUUUGAAAACGCCACGUGUCGCUCCCCAACUGGACCGGAGAAAACCUCGUUCUCUGCGCCGCCCUUAACAUAUAAAAGACCCUUCAUCUGCCUCAUUCUUCCAUUUUCGGCCAUUUUCAACUUUCUUCCGCUGCCUUCGAUCGUUCUAUGCUUCCACCGUUCGCUCGACGAUUCCUCGACAUUUUUCGAUCUUUGCUUACCCCCUUUGCAUUCCCGUGGCCAGACUUAGGUAUUGUUUCCCUCUUCUUCUCCUUGGGUUGUGUAUUUAUGGAAAUCUAGUGUCGUUCCCUCUAUUUCCGGCAGAGUAAUAAGUAGAAUUUUACCUUUAGAAACUUGUAGAUAUGUCUUCUUAUUCCGUUCCUACCUCAGUCAUGACUUUUAGGGAGAUGAAAAGGCUAGAAAAAGCUUUGCGGGGUCCUAUUCCCGGUUUAACCUUCUGCUUGCCGGACAAUAAGUCUCUAGAAGGUCCCUUCAACUUGAGAAAGAACAGCAUCCUUCUUUGGGAACAACAGGUGGCCGCCGGGCUGCGCUUACCCCCGCCCCCAUUUCUCGUGUCCAUCUGCAACCAUUUCUGCAUUCCCUUCUACCAGCUCGCUCCUUCAGCCCUACGGCGAGCCUUUUUCUUUCACAUAUUAGUGAAAUACCACGGCUGCCGAGAUACGGCAGAAUUGUUUUGCCAUCCUUAAGAAAAUCAAUACCCACUAUAGCUUUUCCACCAAUAAAAAAUAUAAAACUACUUUUAUGAGUAAGCUGCCCUCCACGGAUAAAAAUUUUGUGAAUAAAUAUUGCAUAGUCUCUACUGAUAAAGGGACCUGGCGUGCCUUUGCCGAGGUUACGAGUGUGAUCUGGAACCCGGAAAGGCACACUCAGCCACUUCCCACUCUACCCCCUUCUUCAAAUCGGGACUUAGAGAUUUUCGAUCGGCUCAACGCCUUUCACUCUAAACAAUCCUUUCCUGCUCGGCGCUUAGUAGAGAACAACUCAGUGCUGGUAGCAAACGGGCUGUUUGCCCGUUUCCCCAACUCCCGCAUAGGUAAUUUACCUGUCGUGUGUCUUUUUCCAUUUUUUCUCUUCUCUUCCUUUUUUUUUAAGUAUGCUUGAGGUUAACCCUUCUCUCACUCGUUUCAGCAAUGGACUGGAUGGUUGAUUGCGAGGGUCUUCUUCCAGAUCCAACAACCAAAGGUAAAGCCAGGACUGGGACUCCCAGGGCUGAAUCCCUUCGGGAUAGCACCCCUCGGGCUACCCCUUCAGAAGCUGACACGUCUAAGACAGUCAGUGAUGCCCCAGAGUUCGGGGGCCCAACAGAGCUCCCAUCCUCCAUCAACAUUCCCUUGACUGAGGGUUUUUCUUCAGUUCCGGUUACGUACACAUCCUUCCACCCCAGUCCGCGCCGCCCUAGCCCUGUUCUGGAGCAAGUUACUACCAUCUCCACCGUCCACACGGGAAUUAGAGAUGAGGAAGAGGAAGAGCUGGUCGAUGAUGAAAUAGAAGUNNNNNNNNNNNNNNNNNNNNNNNNNNNNNNNNNNNNNNNNNNNNNNNNNNNNNNNNNNNNNNNNNNNNNNNNNNNNNNNNNNNNNNNNNNNNNNNNNNNNNNNNNNNNNNNNNNNNNNNNNNNNNNNNNNNNNNNNNNNNNNNNNNNNNNNNNNNNNNNNNNNNNNNNNNNNNNNNNNNNNNNNNNNNNNNNNNNNNNNNNNNNNNNNNNNNNNNNNNNNNNNNNNNNNNNNNNNNNNNNNNNNNNNNNNNNNNNNNNNNNNNNNNNNNNNNNNNNNNNNNNNNNNNNNNNNNNNNNNNNNNNNNNNNNNNNNNNNNNNNNNNNNNNNNNNNNNNNNNNNNNNNNNNNNNNNNNNNNNNNNNNNNNNNNNNNNNNNNNNNNNNNNNNNNNNNNNNNNNNNNNNNNNNNNNNNNNNNNNNNNNNNNNNNNNNNNNNNNNNNNNNNNNNNNNNNNNNNNNNNNNNNNNNNNNNNNNNNNNNNNNNNNNNNNNNNNNNNNNNNNNNNNNNNNNNNNNNNNNNNNNNNNNNNNNNNNNNNNNNNNNNNNNNNNNNNNNNNNNNNNNGCCGCAGGGGGCAUAGAUGACUGGAGCCACCCUUGAGCUGAUUGUCAAGCUAGACUUGAGGGCCUUGAUGAGGUCUCUGGACAACAACGCUUUAUGCGCGAAAUUAGGGAUAGACCCCAAGGCCCCCGCCAGCCCGGAGUGGUGGUAUCCAGCGUUGGACCGGGCGCCCGUGUACUCCAGCCCUUUUCUCGAGUCCCUUCAGGAAUUUGUGCAAGAUCUUUCUGGGGAUCGGGCUGCGCCUCGGGCCUUUGCCGAGUUUGGGCUAUACCCUGCUCCCCCGGUGGUAUUAGAUUCGACACCCCUUCUACCUCUCGAGCGAAAGUCCUGGAAGAGUUAGCCAAACUCUAUAAGGAUGAGGCCAGCUUCAUGCGUUCUCUGGUUGGGGAUUUGUCAAAGGAUCCGGACCCUUCCCUGACGUUAAUGCCUCCCGGGUCUUGCCUAUUUUCUCCGAGGGCCUUGCUCCUUCUGCUUCCUGCUCCGACCUCUGCCCAGCCUGAAGCCCCUUCCUCAUAGACAACUCUCGGUGCCCUUCUACAAAACAACUGGGCUUAACCCUCAUGGGAUCACAUUCUACCGGGAUGGAGUAAGUGAAGGGCAAUUUAGUCAGGUUCUUCUUCAUGAAAUAGAGGGAAUAAGGGCAGCCUGGAGCUAUAUUUGAAGAAGUUAUUCUCAUCAUUUCACUGCUCUGUGUUUUUUAAUCCAAUACUUAACAUAAAAUAUUUAGAUAUAAAAAUUUAAAAAUAAUACUUAUUCAAUAAAAAUAUUGCAUUUUUAUAUCUCUAGUACUUGCAUAUUAUUACUCCCUCCGUGCCUGAAAAUAGUUGCUUUAUUACUAUAUUGGUACGUCCCUAAAAUUGUGGUAUUUCCUUAUUUGGAAAUGACCCCACAAACUUUUCUUACUAUUUAUAAAAAGUUGUAAGACCCAAUCUCCACUUAAACACAACUACCAUAUUUUUUCUUAAAACACGUGCCAUCUCUUUUGGUCCAUAAUUUUUAGGGACGGAAACCCCUACAAUAUUUCCGAAACCCGAACAUUUUAGGAAUUAGGGGUUGAAAUUUACUAACCCCAAAAAUUUUUUUCAACCCAAAUAGCCCCACACCCAAAUAACCCGUAACCUGAUAGGGCUAGUUCAAAAUCUGAUGGAUUGGCCCGAUUGACAUUCCUACUGGAGCGUAUGGUACGCUCAUGGCCAAAGGAGCGCACCAAAGUUUUUGUCAUGAAUCUUUCUAUUUUUUUAUUUUUUUUUCCUAUCAUCCCUUUAGGCUCAACAACUAAUUAUGUACUUUUGUAUAAUAACUUGUUUUUUAUUUUUAUGUUUGUGAAUAUUUUAAUAUUUGCUAUAUGUGAAUGUAUAGUUUUAUGUAUUGAAUCUAAAAAUGAGAAAAAAUUAUCUUUUUUUAGAAAUUUCUACUUUCUUUAUAUUAUAUUCUCUAGGGUGAAAGUAUAUUGAAAAAUAUUAUCAUAUGAUAUCUCAUGGCAAUAAUAUCAUGAAUUAGAGUAAAGAGUAACAAAUGAACUGUCCAAAAUUCAUUUCCAUUUUAUCCGAAGAAAAUUAUCCACCCUAUAAAAUAUUUUAAUUAAGAAAUAGUGAAUACAUGUGUAUUUAAUUAUUUUAUCCUCUUUUAUCAUUAAAAAUUAAGAAAUAGUGAAUACAUAUGUAUCUAAUUAUUUUAUAUAUCCUCUUUAAUCAUUAAAAAAUUAAGAAAUACUAUAUAUUUAAUUAUUUUAUCCUAAAUUAUCAAUGAACACAAAAGAAAAAAAAGAUAGCCAUUUUUGUAAUCUUUUGGCCUGCCUAAUUCUUUGGCCUAACAGACCCUACUUGACAUAACUUUCUGGCUAAGUAUACCUAAUUGAUAAUUUAUGUUGUUCGAAUUUUAACUAUUGGCAUGCCUCUGCAGUUCCGUGGUAAGAAAAUCUUAUUGCACUCUUUUCUUCUUUUUAGUAUUUAAAUAGCUUCUGAUGCUUAGUAGAUUAAAACAAAAAGGAACUAUAUUUUUGUCUUAUGUAUAGGCAACAAUAUUUCAAAGUACUUUAUGAACAUGUCAUGCUUACUCGCUCCUUAUUCAAUUUCUAAAAGAAAGUAAAUAGAUUUUUUAACUAAAUAUUAAUUGUAUAUAUAUAUAAUAAAAACUAUUUGAUUGCUUAAUUAGCUCGUAAGCACUGAACAAAGUAAUCAUCUCACCCACACACAUUGCACAUACAAACAAAGCACAUGGAUAUCUGAGAGAGAGAGAGAGAGAGAGGUGAGUGUAUAAGUGCAUAGUAAUUAAUGGUGAGUAAAGGCAAGUCCCAUGUACAAGUUUGAUGUUUUUUGGUAUUUUUGGUCGAAAACUUUGCUUGGAGAGAGACCAAAUCAAAUGGAAAGUAAUUAUGAUUGCACAAGACAUGCCUCUCAUGGGCCAAUCUCAACUUGUUCAUAAAGUUAUUUAGUUUCAUUGAUAGAGACACCAAAAAAGAGGAAGGUAUUGACUUGAACACAAGCCAACCCCUCGCUAGGGAUAAUCAUUCAAUUCCUUGGCUUCUAACAUAUACACAAAACUUCUAAAAAAAUGAAUUAUUGUUUUACCCAAUACAUACAUGGCUUUUGGGCAAAGCUAAUUAUUCUAGUACAUGGUUCUUUUCCACAACAAAAAAAGGUCAAAGAUAAAGCCUCAACGGAGUCAACAAGAGCACUACUUAGUUACAUUAAUUGGAGAGACGAAGUGGAGAUACCACUAAGUUGCACAAUUUGACAAAGUAGAAAGUGAAAAUGUUGGGUCCUUUUCGCCGGCUCAAUUGUUGUUCGAGACAGUUAAACACAUCUAAAAAGACUUAAUCAAUCCAUGUCCCAUGUAUAACCAUGCCUUUUAAACUUAUGAUUGAUGCCAAAUUUUAUUAUAAUAUAAGUUGAUUUAGAAUUGUUGUUACGUUUUUUUUUAAUUAUUUUAAACAUUUGUUUUGAUUCUAAUUAAUACCUCAGAAAUUGUUAUUGGAGUUAUUAAUUUAUGAAUUACACAAAACAUAAAUUUCGCUUUGUCCUUUUAUUUAUUUUUUUGAAGUUAUAUGAAAAAUGAAUAAAUCAAACUUUGAUUUUUAUGCAAUUUGUAAAAGUAAUGACGUCAUAACAAUUUUUGACGUAUUAUAAUCAAAAUAAAUUAAUGUAUGAAAUAAAUAAAAUAAUGCUAACGUGAACUAAACGUGAGCAAUCCUCACGGUAAGUACAUAUAUAGAAUUAUUCAAAAUGAGUCCAAGUAUUUAUUGUGUAAAAUAUGAACCAUUUUCAGUCAUUAGAGUGUGAAGAUUUAUAUUAGAUGCAUCAUUUUACUGGAUGAAAUCAUGGUUCAGAAUUCCAAUUUCAUAAAUAAUGAAAAUUCUAUGUUUUUUAGUACAUCACUUUUUUACUGCAAAUUUAUAGUGGUUCAUCGGGACUUGGACUCAUUUCAACCACUUAUUAAAUUACUGAAUUGUCUUUAAAAAUUAAAAUAAAUAAAGAUAUUAAUGAAAUGAUCAAAAUCUAUAAGCAUAUAUAAUUACUUUUAUAAUAGUAAUUGAUAAAUACAUUAAUUUAUAUGUAUCGUCUCAUAAUAUUAUCCUUAAAUUAAAUAUUCAAUGAUGAUUAAAUUUUAUAAAAUGAGACUUUUAUAAUAGGCAUAAAUAUACAUAAUGAAAAGAAAAUGCUUAUUUAGAAAAUGUGUAAUUACUAUACAAAAUUUUAAAUAAACUAGCAGAAAAAACAUACUUUGUACGUGUAAUUAAUGUUAUUUUAAUUGGUAGUCUAUUAUUUAAAAAAAUCUAUUAAUUCAUUAUUUUUAUUAUAUAAUUUAUUGGAUGGAUAUAUUUAUUUAUAAGUCUUAUCAAUAGCUAUAUUUUGUAAAUAUAAUACUCCCUCCCAUUUUUUUAUAUAAGUCGUUUUGUGAUUUUAUGAUUUUUGCAAUUUAUUUGACGUUCUGUCACUUCAUUCCACAUAUACCCCAAUUUACUUAAAUGUGUGUUCCCAUUUUCUAUCAUUCCCAAUUAAUAAUUGAUGAAUCUCAUUUCCUCGGAAUUUGAUUUUUUUUUUGGUUUCAAAUUAAUUUAGGGGAGGAUAAUUAAUGACUCGAGUAUUUCAGUAGUUAAAUGAGUUCAUUUUAUUAGGUUUUCUUAAAAUUUUACACCAAAAUCAUGAAUGUGAUUAAGAAUAAAUAAUCAUUUAAUAAGGUUAAUUUAGGUAGAAUAUUUUUUUAUUAAUAAGUGAGCACAAGCAUAAAACGACUUAUAUAAAGAAUUGGAGGGAGUAAUAAAUAUAUAACAGGGGUAAAAUAGACAAUCCACAAAUUGUGUGUUAGAUUACCAUAAGUUCUUUUUCUAUUAAUAUAGAUAAUAUAUUGUUCUCAGGGGAACAUUCAAAUAAUGCAGACCUCGAUUUGUAAAUUUAAUGUUCAAACUUCAUGGCUUCUCCCUUUCUCAAGUCAAAACAUACAAGUAAUAUCACAAAAGUGAAACACUAAUUAUAGAUUAGAAGAUUCGAGGUGGAUAUGGAGACUAAUAGUCAUUUCCUGUUUUCGAUGGAAGCGGUGCGCGAAUGCGUUUUCAUGGUAAAAUAUGAUGAAUGGCUUAGCGCCGUGAAAGGCGCAGUCAAACAUGAAUAGGACAAGUUUGGUUUCAAUAUUUACCUACUAGAUUUCAACUUUAACCGUUCUACACUUACAAACUGAUAAAGAUAGGUUGAUAUAUAAUUAAUUAAGGGAUUGGUUAAUGUGAAAAAGGGGUAAAAUUCGGCUGCUUCAUUAUUACGAAAAUUGGUCAAUGUAAUUUAGGUGUGAACGCCGAGUUAUUAAUCAUUAUGUGACAAAUUAUAUUACAAAAUACAAUUUGAAAGCUAAAUCUUACCGCAUAAUUACCUGGAACUGGAAGCGUCCCAGAAUUUUUCCACUAUGUACAGAGUAGGACCCGCACAAGCCAGGGUAAAGAGGGAAUUUGUUGUUGGAUGCCUCGUAUUAGUCCUAUUGAAAGUUGAGAUUAGGCUCUCAAAAAGGAAAGAAAGUUGAGAUUAAAGUUGACGACAAAUAGAAUUUACCGGAUAAAAUAUUUUUCCUUUAUUUAAUAGGUCAUCUUUAGUGAAUUUGUGGUUUGAUCGCCACUCUUGAAUGGCUCAAAUUGGGCCUAUUGAAAAUUGAAAUUAAGUCCACGAAAAUUUGUACUAAUUCAAUUAAUAAGAUAUUUUUUCUUCAAGAUCAUUUUCAGUAGAUUUAUUGUUCGAUCGCCACUCUUAGUAUUUUUUAAAAAAAGAACAUAAUCUAUCAAGUGUAAAAAUAGGGAAAAAUGUGCAGAUUAGCCCCAGAAGUAGUAGCCCCUAUAGCGUAAAACCCCCCUUAGUCACUGUGUGUGAAACUAAAUCCCUGAACUCCGAGAAAAGGGUGCAAAUUCCCCCCUCUGACCUAACAUCGUUAACAGCCGUUAGUUAACUCUUUUUUUUUUAAUUAACUCUCAUCUUUCUCACUCAGCCCUCUUUCUCUCUCGGCCACUGCACCGCCGCUAACGGUGGUUGAAUCACCAAGUUGUUGGAUCAUCUUUUAUCAGCAACACAAACGAUUAAUCCAAUUCCAAUUCCAAUCAAAUCGACAUUAUAUAGAAAUAGUGAAAAUAAGGAGGUUAUGAUCGUUACAUUGUGAGAGGCGUCAAAUUUGGCAACGGCGCCGACGCCUUGCCAAACAUCACAAACUCGCGAAGCAUCGAGGCGGCUGGCGAUUUGGGGGCGACCUUCGCGCUGUCUUUUGUUGAAGCAAAGCACAGAGGACGACCGCAAGUUUGAGAGAGAGCAGCCGGUGGUGAUGGGGAGCGUGCGCGGCGCUCUUCGUUCGAAAUUCGAGCGAUGGAGGCAGGCCGGUGCUAAGGUUCAAUCCUUCGUCCUCUUCAGAGGAGAAUCGAGCAGGAGGCGGCUCNNNNNNNNNNNNNNNNNNNNNNNNNNNNNNNNNNNNNNNNNNNNNNNNNNNNNNNNNNNNNNNNNNNNNNNNNNNNNNNNNNNNNNNNNNNNNNNNNNNNNNNNNNNNNNNNNNNNNNNNNNNNNNNNNNNNNNNNNNNNNNNNNNNNNNNNNNNNNNNNNNNNNNNNNNNNNNNNNNNNNNNNNNNNNNNNNNNNNNNNNNNNNNNNNNNNNNNNNNNNNNNNNNNNNNNNNNNNNNNNNNNNGAGUGAUGAGAGAUAAUUAAAAAAAAAAGUUGACUAACGGCCGAUAACGGCGUUAGGUCAGAGGGGGGAAUUUGCACCCUUUUCUCAGAGUUCAAGGGUUUAGUUGCACACACAGUUAGUAAGAGGGGUUAUACGCUAUAGGGGCUACUACUUCGGGGGCCAAUCUGCACCUUUUCCCAAUAAUAUUUAAACAAUUUCUACCAACCAACUUUAUCUACUAAUUAUGCAUUCAUCAAUAUUCAUGCUCAAAAGUAAUGAGACAUUUGUAAUGGAACGAAGGAAAUAUUAAUGAAAAAUAGAACAACAAUAAUCUGAUUCAAAAAUCAGAACAUCAAUAAUUUAAUUUAAUUUUUCCUAUAUUUUUAUCCAUUGAACCCCACCCCUACCAAAACGACUCAAACUGCAUAGUGCGCUCAAAUAUGCAUUACAAGACUCAAUAGUGGGAUAGAAUCCAUUCUCCUUAAUCCAAUUGAAACUAUCAGAUGCAUUCCUAAACUUCUUCAGAUGCACAUGAGUCUUGGACAAAGAAUCAAAUACAUGUGAUAAAGAUUCUAUUGGAUUUGUAUACUGAAAGCAAGAACUUUUAUGCUUGUAUACAAUGAUUUUUAAGUUUACGAUUUUAUCUCCGAUCUGAAUUGUCCAUAAUUGCAUAUGUAUAUCCAAUUAUCUCUAUAUAAGUAGAUUAUAUAGUGUGUUUAGAUCACAUAAGACUAUAUAAUUGGAAUAACCUUAUGAGAUAUAAAAUUGAUCACAGUCAAGACGACUCUAGGACGAGUUGUUGUUUUAAACUGCAGUAUAGAUGGAAGUAGUUAGUCUUGACUACUUGCCUUUACUGGUACGUGUAACGUAUUGAUAGGAUCACAGUGAGAUGUAUUCUUCUGUCUGACCUAAGUGAAGAAUCAAGAUCUUGGUGACUUAACGGAACCUAAAUCCUAAUAAGAUUUCAGGUGUAUAUAUAAAUUUGUGUAUCACUUUGAUUUACUAUGGGUGAGAGUUACAUAUUAACUUGAGUACUCUGUAUCUUGGGUGAUAGCAAUUUAUAUAUGACAUUUAGUAAUCUGUAUUAGGCAACCGUAUCCGGUAUAGGAUGAUGACAUCCUCUUACUGAGCUCAAAAGGUUUAUUGCACUAAACCGUGCAGGUUGAUUAAGUUCAGGUGAAAUAAUAAAGUUGAGCGGUACUACUUAAGGAUUAAUAAAAAAUUAAUUAAUAUAAGCGGUCAAAAGCUUUAAUUAAUUAAUGGAUGUUGGAUAUCUUAAAUACGGGUGAUGAGGAUGGAAUCCGGGAUUCCCGUCCUUCUAAAGAAAGGCCCAUAUAAGAUAUGUUAGGCCCAGUCAAGGCCCGAAUAUAAGUCGUACACAAUUAAGAUUAAACUAUUAUAUUUGUAUCACUUUGAUAUUGUUGCAGAACUGAAGCAGCUAUAAAUCCAAAUCCAGCCGAGUCGAGUGUUAUAUUUCAGAGCUGCAUUAAGUCUAAAGAGAGAAGCCAGAUCUAAGGAUGCAAGUCAGAGCUAAAGGAAUAUCGAAGACACGUGGCAGAUUAAUGGGGUUCGGCCAAUGCACUUAUAUUAAUGGGCUUUAGGGUUAAAUUGCCCAAGAACUUUAGGUUAUUUCUUAUGCUUAUAAAUAGGACCUUAGGUUAUGAGUUAGGGGGCUUUAUUCAUUAUUUUUCCUUCACAUUGUAAAAUGUAACCUUCCAAAUAUAGUGAAAAACUUGAUAACCACCCGUAGUCCCGUGGAUGUAGGUCUUAAUGGCCGAAGCACGUAAAUCUUGGUGUCUUUUAUUGUUUUACUUUAUUUUCUGCUGUUGAGAUUUAAACUCAACUCAGCAACGGGGGUUCGAUAAGUCUAAAUACAAGCCCCAACUCAUCAUCGACAAUAAAGGGGUAAGUCAAUAUUGAUUCUCUAGUGGAAUGAAUUAAUAUUUAUGAACUAAUUGUGAUCUAGACUGAUCAUAAGAAUUAAUUCAUUUGAGCCACAUCUUUAUUCCUUGUAUUUGAUCCUUGGGUUGGCCCAAAGACUCGUGAGCUCAGUAGGAGAAAAAUAGCCCAACUCAUAAGUCUGGCUCAUUACUGUAUUUAUAAUUAUACAUACACAACAGCACUCAGAACAGAAACAAGAAUACGUAAUUUCAUAUUACAGUUUUUAGGUUUUCUGUGAGAGGCAACGGCGCCUAUUGAGUGGGAGUUCUUCUCCGAGGAAUCUUCGAAGAUCGUCGUCCAUCCGAGGUCGGAGAUUAAGCGGGAUACAGUCUAGGAGAUCAGAGCUAGAGUAAGAUUUUUGCAAAAAACCAACUUUUGGCAGUCUCUGAAGAACAUCCAUAACUUCCUGUACAGAACUCCGAUUGAGGCGAAACAGGCGUCUACGGAAAAGCUCUUUUGAAGAAGAAGAAGUCGUAUUUUUGGGUAAAAUACGACUGGAGGUCGUUUGAGAGGUCAAACAGAGUGUUGAAGUUCGCUUCUCUAUUCAACUCUGAAUUGAUGAAUUCUUAGGAAUUCUUCAGGUAUUUCCGAACUCCUCGGUGCAGUAUUUAAAUUAAUAGAAGCAUGCUAGGUUUAAUCGAUAUAUGGUGAAUUUAAAUAAUCCAAGAGACGAUCCUCGAACAUAUUGAUUAUUAAUUAAGUUUAAUAUUCCUACAGAUUCACACAUCUUAUAAGAGUAAAUCAAAGCCUCAAAGAAAGAUUUCGGAAAAUUCAAANNNNNNNNNNNNNNNNNNNNNNNNNNNNNNNNNNNNNNNNNNNNNNNNNNNNNNNNNNNNNNNNNNNNNNNNNNNNNNNNNNNNNNNNNNNNNNNNNNNNNNNNNNNNNNNNNNNNNNNNNNNNNNNNNNNNNNNNNNNNNNNNNNNNNNNNNNNNNNNNNNNNNNNNNNNNNNNNNNNNNNNNNNNNNNNNNNNNNNNNNNNNNNNNNNNNNNNNNNNNNNNNNNNNNNNNNNNNNNNNNNNNNNNNNNNNNNNNNNNNNNNNNNNNNNNNNNNNNNNNNNNNNNNNNNNNNNNNNNNNNNNNNNNNNNNNNNNNNNNNNNNNNNNNNNNNNNNNNNNNNNNNNNNNNNNNNNUCAAAAAUAAAUAAUUAAAUCAUAAUCUAUGAAAAGAAUUGUGCCUAUUCCUGGUACGUAGGGAUUAAUAAUCAAGCACUAAAUAAGUUAAGGUAUUGGAUGAGAUGCUACUGUGCGGGGCGGUGAAGAAGCUGGUGGCGCUGCUGCAUGUGGACGGUGGACAGUCGACAACCAAGAGAUUGGGCGCGUGUGAGCUGACAAGGUGCAAGUCGGAUCCGAUGAGUACAAGGGCGGCUAAGCUGAUGCCGGAGGUGGAUUGUCGAAAUUAAAAAAAAAAAGAAGUUAAAGUGCAGAUCCACCUCUGAAGUAGAUGGUGCAAUUAAACCCAAACGUUUAACGGACGUUAACGGUGUUAGAGGUCUGGGUUUAAUUGCACCAUUUUCUUGGACUAUGGGGGGGUGUUUGCGCCAAGGUCGAGAAUGGGGGGCUAAACGCUAUAAGGGCCUUUACUUUAGGGGUGGAUCUGCACUUUAACCCUUUAUUUUUUGAUGUUUGGCUUUUGUUUUACUUUUACUGGUUUUAUUGUUUUGUUUUUGGUUUUGGUUUGUGGGUCAGAGUCGGGGCUACUUCAGGGCGAUGGUUAGGCCGGAGUUCUGGAAGUAAUCUCACUUCCGCUCUUUCUCACUUUUGGGUUUUUUUGUUGCGUUUAGAUGAGUACUCUUUUUCCUCUUUAGGAUUUUGCCCUUGGGGUUUUUCCUAAAGAGGUUUUAACGAGGCUCAGGCCUUUGUCUGCUUUCUUGUGCUUUCAAGGGUUUUUAGAUUUUUCAUUUCUUUUUUCAAUAAAAUCGUAAUUUAAUAAUAAAACUUUUAAAGUUCAAUAAUUCAAGAUAUAUUUUGAGAAAUAAAAACUCGCCUUUACAGGACAAGUUUUUAGAUUAAAAAAAAAAAAAAAGGACAAUCACAUUUUGAUAAAGCAAUGCUAAUUCUUCUUAUUAAGUAAACUUACGAGAUAUUCUAAUUUUAUUAGGUCUCAAAAAUAUUAGCCUUUGUUAUCAAUUUUGUAAAGCUACUAAAUCCUAAGUCACUAGUUCGAAUUUGCAAAACUCAACUUGAUUAUAUAAAUCAAUUCAUCAAAAUACUUAUAUUAUAAAAGCAUAACUUAAUGUAUAGGCGUAAUUGACUUUGAUUAUGUCAAGUUUCAAACUUAAGUACAAUAUAAUAAGGUUCAAAAUAAUCUCAAAUAAUUGUAAUAAAAUUUGUCGAUAUCUUCAACCUAAACCUAAGCCCCACAAGGCCCUAUGUUAAUUUAAACAAAACCCAAGGGUAAAAUUAUUGUCUAAAAUAAAAUCAAGUUUAUAAAGGCCCAUUAUUUGAAACCCAACGUCUGACUCAUCUCUCUCCUCUUCUUUUCUUUCAUUUGAUUAUUUAUUUAUUUUUUCCAACAGAACCUCUCUCCCCAUGCCUGCCGCCGCCCUAACCAAAAUCGUCGGAUUCUACCUCCAUCUUUUUUCACUAAUUCUCUCUAUACCCACAAAAUCCCCAAAUUCUACAAAUCCCUAGCCCUCUCAUCUCUUUGGCCACUUGAUUUAGUGUGAGAGUGGGGAGCAGAUUGAUGAAAAGGGUUGUGUGUUGUUGAUCAGAAUGCCUAUUGUGUAGUGCUUGAGCAAAGCAAGAUGAGGGUUUUACUCUUACUGCACAACAAAAAUAUUGUUACUGCAAAAAUAUCAAAUUGUUAAAAAACCGUUGUCUGCUUCAAAUAAAAGGGCUUCUGCAAUUACUUCUAAAAAUUUGGCCCAGGAUACUAGUUUUAAAUUCAUUAUCUUAUGAAAUAAAGGCCCAAUUCUGAACUUAUAAGGGUAUGUUUACUUCGAUUCUAAAAUUUUCAUUCAAAAAUGAUGGAUAAGAAAAUAUGAGAAUUUUUUUUAAUCAUAUAUUUACUAUAGAUGAAAAGAUGAGAAAUGUUGAAAAAUAUUUUCGCACCCCUACUACAUGAUAAUAUUAUCCAACAUUGAAGAUAAAUAAGUGAAAACAAAAUUUAUUCAGACAUUAUUAAUAGAGUGGAAUUCGAAAAUUGCCAUUUUGGAAUAGUAAAAAUAAAAAUUGUACAUUAAGAUAAAAAAAAUUAAAAAUUAGUUAAACUUACAAUUUUUAUCCCUCACAUAAAAAUCUUAAAAAUUAUCCACUGAUUUUUUUUAUUGUGAAUUCGAGUCUUUGAAUUACAAUUCACAACCAAUAAUAUUCUAGUCGUGAAUUCGAGUUUUAAAACUUGAAUUCACAACUAGAAAUAGUGUUUGUUGUAAAUUCGAACUUUAAAGCUUGAAUUUACGACUAGUAAUAAUGUUGGUUGUGAAUUCAAGCUUUAAAACUUGAAUUCACAACCAUCACUAACUAUGCAGUUGUGAAUUCAAGUUUUAAAGCUUGAUUAUGAAUUCAAGCUUUAAAAAUCGAAUUCACAACCAACACUAUUACUAGUUAUGAAUUUGAACAGGUAGACAUAUCGAAAAUCACAAGGUCAUUAGCCUCAAAUGGAUUUUUCGCAACAAGAAGGAUGAGGAUGGCCAUGUGAUAAGAAACAAAGCCAAGGUAGUCGCCAAGGACUAUCAAGAAUAAGGAAUCGCGUAGGAUGAAACUUUCGCUCUUGUUGCUUGACUAUAAGCUAUCAGUCUGUUCUUAGCUUACGUCAUUCAAAAGAAAUUUAAAGUUUAUCAAGUGGAUGUGAAAUGUGUGUUUCUGAAUGGGUUACAUAGAAAAACCAUUAGGCUUUGAUAUCGGUGACAAGGUGUAAAAGCUAAAGAAACAUGAAUUUAGAACCAGCAAUAAUGUUGGUUAUGAAUUCGAGCUUUGGGCUUUAAAACUCGAAUUCACAAUCAAUACUAGCGAUUUAGUUGUGAAUUGAAUAACAUUAACAACACAAACUCGCUCCACAACAAUUGACACCAUACAACCUUAAAUAUUUGAUUAAAUCCGCAACAAUGUCUGCAAACUCGGCGUGGAGAAAUUGAGUUUGUUGCAGAUUCAUAAAAUGGACUGGGAGGUUCUCGAUCUAAGGAUUAAGAAGUGGUUUAGUCUGGUGCGCACUGCUGUGCAGAUGCUCUUCAACGGCGAGAGAGUUUCUCUGAGAUCAUGAAUUCGUCGCCUCAAAUUCCAUUACAAAAUCAUGCUUCACGAAAUUGCCAAGGAAUGCGCCAUGCUUCUUUUUCUCAUUUCCAGUAAAACGUGGUUCCCAACUACCAAUUUUCUCUCACUAUCAUACUUCUUUCUCAAUCUUAAAUUAUAUACAUAUGAAUACGCACACUCACAUAGAGAAUAUGCACUAAUUACUCAAUCAAUUGAUUGAUUGCAUUAGCCUAAAAUUGAAUUGAGUUCAUUACAUAUAGCGGUGAGGGUUCCAAACAGUGGAGUAUUUGUGGAAGGCGGCGGAGGGGUCGAACUAGAGGCAGAAUAAUUGUUGCUCCUUGUCGCCUUUCCCUUGUGAAUAAACAUUUGUGUUCAUGGGAGGUGGUGAUAGGGAGAUGUAAGAGAAGGGCGAUGCUAAGAGGAUGGGGACGACGAUUUGCCGGAAUGAGUGGCGGCGAUGGCAGGGGAGAUCAACGGUAGCAUUUCUCGUCGUCCGUUGCAAGAGACAAAAGAAAGAGAAACGGGGAGGGAAGUGUGUGUGUGUGAGAGAGAGAGAGAGCAUAAUCUCCACUUUUAAGGUUUUUUAUAGGGAAAUUUGCGUAAAAUACACUAACUAUGGAAAAAUUCCAUUUUUAACACCAACUUAGGAAAGUUCAAUAAAAUUCAUGAACUUAGAGGUUUGUCCAUUUUUGACACGUCAAUCUUUCUUUAAUUAUAAACCUACCCCUUCUUAAAACAAAAUAUCACAAAUACCCCCAAAUGUCUCUUUCUCCAUACAAAAUAAUCCUUAUGAGCUUCUUAAAAUUAUAAGGUCAAAAUCAAAACAAAUUAUUAGGCCCAACAUGCUUCCGUAUCACUUCAAAAUUAAUCUAAACAUAAACCAACUUUAUACCUUUAGUCGAAUGGUCUUCUUCGGGAGUUAGUUCCUGUUGCGUUUUACGGACCGUCUGCCCCAAGGCUUCGUCCAACCACGCGCUCGCAAGGGAUGGUUGCAACCUUCCUCCUUCACUAAGUUUCGAUGUAAAAUAUUUUGUUGGAAAAUAAAAGGAAAUUUUUUACUAAACCGGAAAGUUGAGCAAAACAAAGCGUUUAAAGAGGAAUUAUAAAAUAUUUAAUUUAUUUCAUAAUAUCUCCCUAAGGGAGGAGACAACUUGUUUAGCUACUCAUUAGUAGCUUAAUACUUGCGUACAUAUAAAAUUAAAAGAACUAAAACUUUAAAACCUUCACCGUCAUCCUCUUUGUCACAGCCCGCCCUAACUAUGGAUAGUUAGGCCGAGUGAUCCACGACUAGGGAUGGGGUUAAAGAAGAAGGGGAAGAAAAGGGGCGUCAUUUAUAGCCGUAAAACUUACUCAUCUUAAUAAAACUCGUCAUUUUUAUUCAUUAAUACUCAAUUGAAAACAGUCUAUGAAAGACUGCAUAAAAGUUAAUUAAUAUCAUUAAUCAAGUUAUACAUCAUAUGCAACCAUUCUCUUAAGACUCAAAGUAUGACAUAACAUACUAUAACAUCAACAACAUCUUGCAGCGGAAAGUAGCUAGACAUAUGUAUGAAGACAUAUUCUAGACAGGUUAACUAUUUAUUAACAACCCUGGAGACUCCGCUCAUUGCAGCACCAUCAUCACAUCAGCUCAACAUCUACCCAAUAACAACAUACUAAAAUUUCACGACGAUCCGACGUCGUUUCAAAAUAAAGUCGAGAAUCGACGUUUUUCGACGUCGACGAAAAUCGAAAAGAAAACCAUCAAAACGUAGGUAGAGAUCUUACCUACUUAGAUACGUGAUCGAAAAGAUGAUCGGCGCUCGUCUCAGUGCUCAAAUCGGAGGUCAAAAGCUCCGUCCAAGCUUAAAUGGAAAAUGGCGUGUGUAGUGUGUGUUUUAGGUGUUGUGUGUGUGAAUAUGUGAGUUGUGUGUGUGGUGUGGGCUGAUAUAGCGUGAGUUAGUGAGGGGAAAGGGGUUUUGGGAGGUUUGGGGGUGGUUAGGGGUAGGGUAGGUUAGAUAUUUAGGAUAUUAACCCGUUAGUCGUUAAAUAUCUCGUCUCGUCUCGUUUUAACAACUAACAACCCAUACUCUUCGUUACUCGCCCUCUCAACCUCUACUCACUUUCAUUACACUCGUAAUUCCAUAUAAAUAUAGAAAACGCAAGCUCGUUCUCGAAAUUCUGAUAAACGAGCUCGGUUCGUUUAUCGAGAAAUCCCGGUUUACUAUUCACUCGUCGUCCAAAAAUAAAAACUUUCAUUAUUGGACUCGUAUCGAAAAACUAAGAAUAUUUCUCGACGACGUGCACGUAAGAUUUUGAAAGUCGACAAAAAGACGAAAUAGCCGUAUUUUACUAUUCAUCGUCAAAAAGUCAAAAAUUUCAAAAAACGUCUUAACGGACUCAGAUUUCACUUCCGAGUUCACCGUUCUCAUUCAAAUAAUUAUCUAGAAUUAUUUGAAUACUCAAGCUCAAAUACGGAUAUAAAAUCCCACAUCAUUCUCACAUCAUCAAAAGAACAUCUCAACAUUUUUAAAAUAUAACAACAAAACUUCAUAUAACUCUUCAUCUCUUUACAAAGUAAAUCAAACAAGGGAUCUAUACCCUAAUUACUCAAACUUAAGCAAUUAAACACGUCAUCAAAAGCCCGGGUAUUACAUACCUUCCCCCUUAAAAUAAAUUUCGUCCCGAAAUUUGUACCUCUUGUAAAUGUUUCGGGUACUUCUCUCACAUCUUAUCCUCAAGCUCUCUUUCCACUUCUUUCUAACUAUCAUAUCUCCAUUGGACCUUAUCCAAUGCAAUCGACUUAUUACUCAAUUGCCGAAUUUUAUGAUCUAGCAUCAUCUGAGGUCUCUCUUCAUAACUCAAGUCUGGUUCUAAGAUCAUUUCUUCUUAGUAAACCACAUGGUUUGGGUCGAAAAUAUAUAUCCUCUCAAUUGUGACACGUGAAACACGUUAUGCACAUUUCCAAAGCUAGGUGGCAAAGCCAACCUAUACGCUAUUGGACCUAUCUUUUGCAAUAUCUCGUAAGGACUUAUAACUCUGGGUCUAAGCUGUCCUUUAACUCCAAAUCUAUUCAUCCCCUUUGAGGGUGAAACCUUCAAGAAAACUUUGUCUCUUAUCUCGAAACUUUGUCUCACAUCUUAUAGGUAAACUCAAUUAGUGGCAACACAUUCUCCCGAUUUACUCCUCUAUCAAGGAUAGUAGUUCCUAUAAUAUCUUCUAUCGCCUGCUAUGCUAAAAUUCAUCCUUGUACCCAACUCUUUCUGUAACUCAUCCAAAAACGUGAUGUAAAUUUUUUUUUUUUUCUCUUUCUGAGGUGAUCUACACCGGUACUCAAAGCAAUCUUAUAAUCUCACGAACGUACAAUUGUGCUAACUUAUCUGGUCCAUACGCGAUUAGGAUCGGUAUGAAAUGUGCAGAUUUUGUUAGUCGAUCUACAAUCACCCAAAUUGCUGUAUUUCCUCUUUGACUUUUGGGUAAAGCUGUCACAAAAUCCAUCGCUAUGUGAUCCCAUUUCCACUCGGGAAUCUCCAACGGUUUUAACUUCCCAUAGGGUCGUUGGUGUAAUGCUUUCACUUGCUGACAAGCUAAGCAUCGCUCUACAAACGAAGCUAUGUCUCAUUUCAUUCCGUCCCACAAAAAUCUAUUUUUUUACAACCUGAUACAUCUUUGUGCCUCCUGGGUGGGCGGUGUAAGGCGUGUUAUGAGUCUCACUCAUGAUCGUUAUUUUUUUUUUUUUUUUUUUUAACUCUUGAGAUCUCCUGCUCUUAUCCUUUCUCGUAACUUGUUCAUUGUCUCAUCUUUCCUUGUGCUUCAAUCACCAUUUUCCUCAAACUAGGCAUCGUCGCAACAAUACUUGCUAUCGUCCCUGGUGGUUUUAUCAUCUCUAUCCUCAUCUUGUCAAAGUCCUUUAUAAGCUCAUCCUCUCUCGUGAGAAUACAUCCUAACUUUGACGAGACCUUUCGGCUCAAUGCAUCGGCUACUACAUUGGCCUUGCCAGGGUGAUAGUUAAUGUCGCAGUUAACAUCCUUUACUAAUUCGAGCCAUCUCAUUUGCCUCAUGUUAAUAUCCUUAUGCUUGAAAAAGUAUUUCAAAGUUUUGUGGUCCGUGAAAAUCUCACAUCUAACUCCGUAGAGAUGAUGUCUCCAAAUUUUCAGGGCAUGCACAACGGCUGCAAGCUCUAAAUCAUGCGUUGGAUAAUUUAUCUCGUGGGGUCUAAGUUGUCGUGAUGCAUAGACUAUAACUCUUCCUUCUUGCAUCAAAACACAUCCUAGCCCAUUCUUUGACGCAUCUGUGUAGAUGGUAUACUCUUUAUCCAUUUCCGGGACUAGCAGCACUGGUGCUGUAGUCAAUUUCCUUUAAGCUCUUAAAAACUCUCUUUACACUCCUCUUUCCAAUUGUACUUAGCUUCUUUUCUCGGUCUUGCUAUCGUGGAAAAUCCUUCAAUAAACCUCUUCUAGUAUCCUGCUAAGCCUAAAAAGCUGCAAAUCUCGUUAGGCGUAGUUGGUGAUCUCCACUCAUGUACAGCUUGUACCUUGGCGGGGUCAACUUUAAUUCCUUCGGAUGAUACAAUAUGUCCUAGAAAAGUUACUUCGUUCAACCAAAACUCGCACUUGGUGAAUUUGGCAAAAAGCUUCUCAACUCUUAGGUUUCCAACAUCGUUCUCAAAUGUUUUGGCGCUCCUGCUCAUUCUUCGAAUAGAUGAGAAUAUCAUCUAUGAAAACUAGGACAAAUUUAUCCAGUUAUUGAUGAACACUCGAUUCAUGUGAUCCAUGAAAACUACUGGUGCCUUCUCAAACGAAUGGCAUAACUAUGAACUCAUAUGCUCAUACCUCAUUUGAAAAGCUGUCUUAGGUAUAUCCUUCUGUCAAAAUUUCAACUGGUGGUAAUCUGAUCUCAAGUCAACUUUCAAGAAAAAGCUCGCUCCUCGUAAUUGAUCAAACAAGUCAUCUAUCCUCGGUAAAGGAUAUUUGUUCUUGAGUGUCAAUUUAUUCAGCUCUCGAUAAUCUAUGCACAUUCUCAACGUGCCAUCCUUCUUUUUGACAAAAAGGACUGGUGCUCCCCACGGGAUACCUAGGUCUAAUAAAACCUAACUCGAGCAAUUCUUGUAGCUGAAUCUUCAGCUCUUGUAGCUCCUUAGGCGCCAUUCUAUAGGGUGCCUUCGACACUAGUGCUGAUCCAGGUUCUAGGUCGAUAGUGAACUCAACUGUCUUGUUGGUGGCAAUCCUGGUAAGACCUCGGGAAAUACAUCUCUAUAUUCCUUACCACUGCUACAUCCUCAAGUUUUUUUUUUUACUUGAUUCUCCUUCAUCAUUCAAGUAAACUAGGUAAGCUUGUGCUCCUUUCUUCUUUACCAAUUUCGACGCCUGAAGUGCCGAAAUGAUUGGAAUUCUCUUCUUUCUAUCAAUGUCGUGAAAACAUGUUGUUCUUCCCAGGUGGUUGGAAAGUUAUCUGUCUCUUCUUACAAUCAAUCGGGCAAAGUUCUCUGCUAACCAGUCCAUCCUUAGAAUAAUGUCUACGUUCCACAUAGGCAUUAAGUGCAAGGUUCUUGUUUUCAUCUUUAGUGAUCCUAACUCAAGCUCUAAGUUAGAAAUCAUGUGAGAAACUGUAGUAGCUCUUCCUACAGGAGUGAUUACUCUCAACUCGGGACUAGCUUGUUUUGGUUCGAGUUUGAAGGUAACAUGCUUCAACCAAUUAAAGAAUGCGAGGCUCCUGUAUUAAACAGGAUUCUAACUGGUGCAUCCAAUAACUUGCCCAUACUACCUUAAAGUCCUGCCUUAAACCAAGACUUAAAACUCAGACAUCUCUUCAUCAGUAUCCAUCUUCUGAUGAGCGAACGUGAUAGCUCACAGAAUUCUCAAUUAUACUCUACAACCGAUUUCUUUCCUUGCAUCAAACUUCGAUAAUCAGCCUCUCGCUGCUUACUGUACUCCUCGGUACAUACUUCUCAAGAGUAGUCUUCAAUUGUUCUCAAGUAUAGUUUACCAGUUGCUCAGGUGUUAAAGUCCUCUGACGUGCCUCUCACUAGUCUUAUACAUUAAAAGAAUCUACUAGGAUAACUCAAAAGUUGUAAGGGUUCAACCCUAGAACGACAUCAAAACAAAUUUUCAAAGACUCAAAUGAAUGACAGAGGUAAAUGAAGUAACUACCAGGUCGAACAAAAUGACCUAGAGUAAGAACCCAUCUGGCUUUUCAACCGAAAGUUGAAACACAUGGGUUUAUAAACCCAAAACACGUCUACUGAGAUUUGGAUCAUGCGGACUGGCCAGGUCCAACAUAACUAUCCCGAACUGAGAUUUGGAUCAUGCGGACUGAGAUUUGGGUUUAUAUUCCCCAGUCACACGGAAUAUACUAUCCCGAACUUGGAAAUUCUGUGUCUUCUAAACCCUCAACAUACUAUAGAUAACAAAACUUAAGUUCACACCAGCAAGCUAAAAGCUUAAACUCAGGGUCCUAUGUUCUAGACUCUUGUUUCGAAAGUUCAAUAUUUUUCGACUCUCCUAUCAUGUUGCGGUGGUGGUGGCGGAGUAUUAUCCCGCCUAUCCUUCACAUCACACUCUUGAUGACAUCUUUGAGGCAUUUUUGAAAUCACAAAAGGAAAACUCAACUCGACCAACGCUCUAAGCAUCCUCGAAACUCAAGUUCAAUUUACUAACUCAACUUUAAGGAAACCCUCACGGUCACCUUAACAUUCAUCUGUAAGGCAAUAAGCACUCACGAAAUGCUAACAAAAAGACCACUCUGGUCAACCUAAUAUAUCCAUCAGUAGAAUGCCUCUUUUUAGAGGGCUUACAUAAAGGGGUUAUUUAAACCCUACAAAAACCAUAGUAUCUAUCGUAAUGUCCCUUCUAAACUGACACCAUUAAUAGUACUAUGUCUCGGUCUGGACCUCCUACGGUAAUUGCUACCAGUUAACUCAUCUAGUCGCUACUUUAGCACACUAGGAACAUCCAUCUAUUUAACAUCAGUAGGGUACUAAAUUCGCAUGCUUAUCUAUCAUCAUGUCAAAAUCUCAAGUACCAGUAUCUCCUAAGUAAGUUAUAUACAUCGCAAUGUAAUUGCAACUAAUCAAAAACGAGGGUGUACCGCGCAUACUCUCAAGAUCAUCCUUAGCUCUAGCCUACAUCGACUUCUCUUCUCAUCCUCAUCAACUCUAGCCCUCCUCGGCUACUUCUCAUCCUCAUUAUCGUUUAUCAUUUUAUCAUCUUUGGUAACUGAUACUCAAGGAUCGACUCGAUAUCUACUACACUCUUCUAGAGUCCCUGGUAGAAAACAAGCAUCCGGUCAGUAGAUCCGCAUAGAAAAUCUGGGUAUCUGUAACAAAUCCCAUCUCCUGUGGGUCCAAUGCUCAAGACGACAUGUCCCAUCAUAUUGAGUGGCUUUCUUCCUUGCUCAAUCCUACCACUCGAUUGGUAGCACGGGGACUAGGUGCACGAUGCCAUCCAGUCUAGUAACAACCAUAAGGCUUUCAUCCUUUCAUAGUCUAUGAACAUGUGUUUGAAAAUCUGCUAGGGUAUCUCUGUACCACAUACUGUACGCUUCGUCCUCGUAUCCGAUCUUUCCUGAGUUCGAUCUCACAACAGUCCACUUUCGUGCAGUGCCAACAGUCCUGGCCAACCUAUAAGGAGAACUUAAAGGUGACUCUAGGAACUAACUCUACUUGGCUCCAGCAACAGAAAUAAACAAAACAUAACUUAGCAAAACUCCUAUUAAGUAGUACUGUUAUCUUAAAACUCAAGCUCAAAACAUCUAAAUUCUCAUCUCGUCCCGUCUUUACUUAGUAGGAAUCUCUCUAAACAAUGAUAUUAGAUCCCUUAAUCUAAAUCAUCGUGACUCAGUAAGACAAGUUAUAGGAUUUUCUCUGAAUGUCAUCUCCUAUACUUUGUUUAUGUUUUCUUAUGACUUGAGAUUUGCUUUUAUUAUGAAUAUGCUUGGCUAAAAUCUCUUAUCUUAGGGAUUAGAUUAGAUGGAUUUGUAAUGGAUUGAUUUCUUUGUUCAAUAUAUAUCUUGAUUGUGCUUAUUGUUAUCUUUUCAAGUCCUAGAUUUAUCUCUUGUAUGAUUGGUUGGCCACCUUUUGUGCAUUUCUAAUUUGUGAUUUGAAUCGGGAGAGGAUAAUUACAAUAGAUUAGGAGUUUGAUACAUAUCAUCUCAAUAAACCGGGAGGUUGAGAGUUGGGUGAGGGCUUGUUGAUUCUUUGUGCUCUUGGGAGUUAUAGGUUAGAAAUUGACCGGGGACGGCAAUUAUGACCCGUAAUCUACUGUUUUAGUCGUCCGGGAGGGGGCUAAAACUAGUGGGGAGAUCGCCCUAGAUAAGUAGGCCAUAUCAAGAUUUAAAUUGAUUUAGAUUGAAGUUCAUUACGAUCUAUCGAAAUCUAGUCCCUAGGAUAACUUUCAUUCAAGUCAUUCCCCAAUUUAUUCACUAAGUUUAUGUUAUUGUUAUUUACUUUUCUUGCUUUAUUUAGUUUUGUUUUAGUUAUCAACACCUCUUGAACUUUGGUUGUCUAAAUAGAUUAAAAACAACUUAUUAAUAGUGUAAAGAAGUUUAAAUUCACCAAUCCUUGUGGAAUACGACCUUGCUUCCCUUAUAUUGCAACUACACCGUAUACUUGCGGCGUGGUGAAAAUAAUAGCGAACAAGUUUUUGGCGCCGUUGCCGGGGAUUGGUUGAGUUUUUACUUUUGAUAUUGUGAAAAGUUGUUUUUAUCUAAUUUAGAUAUUGUUUUUAUGUUUGUUUAUUUAUUUGUUUUAUUUAUUUUUGUUAGUAGUAAAAUUGUCCACAACCGUAAAAGCGGCACCAAAAAUGGAUGAUGGAAGGAAUGAGUUGGUUGAGCAACUCCAACUACAAUUGGCGUUGAUGCAACUUAAGUUGCGUGUUUUGGAAGCCAAAAGAAAUUGUAGGCAACCAAUGAUCCAAAAAGCCUUCCAACCAACACCUUCCUAUGGUGAGUAUUAUGACAUGGGGUGCAAUGCCAUGGAGUGGCAAUCACCAUUGGAGUAUGAGGACCAUUUCAAUAGUUGGAAUUAUGAAAAUUCUUAUUCCACUCAAGAAGGCUUCCAAGGGGGAAAUCGAUACUAUCAAGAGGAGAAAUCGAAUUCGAAAGAUGAUCUCCUACAAUGCUUCUUAACUACACAAGCUUGGAUAGAAAAAAGUCUAGCAAAAUCGGAGGUUAUGCUAGAUGAGCAAAGGAGGUCUUUGGCUACCACUAUGGAAAAUCAAAAAGCGAAUUGAUGAUUUGUGCAUGGCCAUUAGCCUACGGAAUGGAACCUUGUAUGAGGAACCAAUGCCGAUGCUAAGUGAGAGCCUCAAGAAGUUGAAGAAGAGUAUAAAGAAGAUGAGGAUCAAUUCUCCAAACCCCUUGAAGUCGAGAGCCCAACUUUUCCAACGCAACCUCUACAAUUACCAAAAAGAUGAAGAUUUCACAAGUUUUAAAGAAUGCAAAGUCAAAAAUUUUGUCGAUCCUUACCUCGACAUGGGCGAUUCUAUGAAGGCUUGCUUCUUUCACUUUUAUUUAUCUUCAUCUUUUGAUUUUCACUUUGAUUUGUCUAAUAAGNNNNNNNNNNNNNNNNNNNNNNNNNNNNNNNNNNNNNNNNNNNNNNNNNNNNNNNNNNNNNNNNNNNNNNNNNNNNNNNNNNNNNNNNNNNNNNNNNNNNNNNNNNNNNNNNNNNNNNNNNNNNNNNNNNNNNNNNNNNNNNNNNNNNNNNNNNNNNNNNNNNNNNNNNNNNNNNNNNNNNNNNNNNNNNNNNNNNNNNNNNNNNNNNNNNNNNNNNNNNNNNNNNNNNNNNNNNNNNNNNNNNNNNNNNNNNNNNNNNNNNNNNNNNNNNNNNNNNNNNNNNNNNNNNNNNNNNNNNNNNNNNNNNNNNNNNNNNNNNNNNNNNNNNNNNNNNNNNNNNNNNNNNNNNNNNNNNNNNNNNNNNNNNNNNNNNNNNNNNNNNNNNNNNNNNNNNNNNNNNNNNNNNNNNNNNNNNNNNNNNNNNNNNNNNNNNNNNNNNNNNNNNNNNNNNNNNNNNNNNNNNNNNNNNNNNNNNNNNNNNNNNNNNNNNNNNNNNNNNNNNNNNNNNNNNNNNNNNNNNNNNNNNNNNNNNNNNNNNNNNNNNNNNNNNNNNNNNNNNNNNNNNNNNNNNNNNNNNNNNNNNNNNNNNNNNNNNNNNNNNNNNNNNNNNNNNNNNNNNNNNNNNNNNNNNNNNNNNNNNNNNNNNNNNNNNNNNNNNNNNNNNNNNNNNNNNNNNNNNNNNNNNNNNNNNNNNNNNNNNNNNNNNNNNNNNNNNNNNNNNNNNNNNNNNNNNNNNNNNNNNNNNNNNNNNNNNNNNNNNNNNNNNNNNNNNNNNNNNNNNNNNNNNNNNNNNNNNNNNNNNNNNNNNNNNNNNNNNNNNNNNNNNNNNNNNNNNNNNNNNNNNNNNNNNNNNNNNNNNNNNNNNNNNNNNNNNNNNNNNNNNNNNNNNNNNNNNNNNNNNNNNNNNNNNNNNNNNNNNNNNNNNNNNNNNNNNNNNNNNNNNNNNNNNNNNNNNNNNNNNNNNNNNNNNNNNNNNNNNNNNNNNNNNNNNNNNNNNNNNNNNNNNNNNNNNNNNNNNNNNNNNNNNNNNNNNNNNNNNNNNNNNNNNNNNNNNNNNNNNNNNNNNNNNNNNNNNNNNNNNNNNNNNNNNNNNNNNNNNNNNNNNNNNNNNNNNNNNNNNNNNNNNNNNNNNNNNNNNNNNNNNNNNNNNNNNNNNNNNNNNNNNNNNNNNNNNNNNNNNNNNNNNNNNNNNNNNNNNNNNNNCAACUACUAGAAGUAGAUCCUAGUCUCGUUUUAAACCCUGACAUGAUAGGAAUACUACGCAAGGCUAUACUCCAUGAAGGAUGUCCUUAUAAAGAAAUAAGUGAUCUAGUUGUCACUGAUAUGACACAAUGUACAUGUGGAGAGAAUCCUUUCAAAAACGUUUUAACGGACUCAGAUUUCACUUCCGAGUUCAUCGUUCUCAUUCAAAUAAUUAUCUCGAAUUAUUCAAAUACUCAAACUCAAAUACGGAUAUAAAAUCUCACAUCAUUCUCACAUCAUCGAAAGAACAUCUCAACAUCUUAAAAAAAAACAAAAACUUACAUAUAACUCCUCAUCUUACUUUAACAAAAGUAAAUCAAACAAGGGAUCUAAACCCUAAUUACUCAAACUCAAGAAAUUAAACACGUCAUCAAAAGCCCGGGUAUUACAAUAUUGAUUUAUCGUUAUUCUCAUUUCACACAAUUAAAUCUAAUAAAUAUCAACCAUAAAAUUAAAAUAUCUCACGUUUCAAAUUUAUUUUUAUUUAUCACCAAUUUUUGCUACUUUCACUUUCAUAAUUUGUGCAAACUACAUUUGAGAUGUAAACCCUCCUUCUUUUAAGAUGAGGGAAGUAAACCCCAUAUAAUAAUGGUAAACUUUUUAUUAUUAUUAAAAGGGAGCUUUAUUUAUAAUGUGAUAGUUGAAUAUGAUUUUAAGACUAUCAUCUGUGAGAGGUCUUGGUUCAAUCUCGCCUGCGUGCGGGUAGUUUUUCAGUUUUUUGUGGGUAGUGUUCCCACUUAUGUGUGGGUAGUGGUUCCGCCUGCGUGCAGUUGUUUUCUCACCUUUGUGUUAUUGUGUGGUGUAGAGGUCCCGCUUGCAUGCGAAUUGCUUAUUUGAUUAUAUACUAGAUGUCUCUUGUAAUUCUCAAAAAAAAAAAAAAAACUCAUUCAACCAUUAUUCCAUUUUCAAUAAACGAUCUAAUUUCCUUUUGGUUUAUCAAAGGUAAAAAAAAUUAUGAUAAGGGAGCUCCACAUAUAAGGAGUUAAUUGUGUUCAAAUUCGAGAUCUUUAUUUUCAAGAAUGUCUACAUUUACACUAUAUUAAAAAAGUAACUUCAAAUUUUAAAAUUAAAUGACAAUUUUGUAGUUAUAAUAAAAUUGAAGAUUUAUUUGUAAAUUAUAUUUUUUUCUUUUUAUUUCCUUUUUCGUAUAUUUUUGUUUUAUUUCUUUCAAAAAAUUAAAAAUUUGCCUAAUUUGAAUAAGGUUCCAAUAAGAUUAGAUGAAACAAAUGUCUUGUUAAUUUCAAAGCAAUUAAUUUUACAAAAUAAGCCCUAUUCUCAAGUUGCACAAGAAACAUGUGAAGAAGCAAGCUUAUUUACAAUCAACGAAAUCCACAACAAACUAUAAAUCUAACUUUCAUCCAAUAUUUGGAUUCAAAUGGAGCUCCUCAAGAUGUAGGUAUGCGGAGCUUGUUCUAGUAUAUCUGUAAAAAGUAUUUAAGUUUUAUUUUGCUUACCAAAUUGGUUGGCAUGUAUUAAUAUUAUACAUAACUAGUACCAUUAGUGAUUAAUUUACAGAAUAUAAGAUAAAACUUGUGAAUAAUUAGAUUUGGAAAUGAAGUAUGGAAGAGUAGAUUAAUGGAGUGAAAGUCGAAUACUUUAUAAAUUAUACGUAGAAAUAAAAUUUAGAAAAUUAGGGAGGUAAAGUUGAUAAUUACAUGGUUGAAAGAACCUCCUUGCACCUUGUUUGGAGGAAAAAAAAAGGUUGCACAUUCCGAGAGGCUUGUCCACCCGCAGGUAUGAGUAAUUUUAUUUAAAUAAAGUACUAUUGUUACACUAUUUGUUUCCCUUCUCGAAAUGAUUAAUUGACUGGGAAAUGGUAGACACAUAGGUAUGAUAACUGACUACAACCCUACAUCCCCAUCACCUCUUGUCUUUCUUUGCCGCUCUCAAUUCCACACCACCAAAUUGGAUACUAUUCCACUUACGCUAACUUCUCAUUUUACAAUUGUAGACCAUCUUUAACCAAUUUUCUAAUAUUCCACUCCAAAAUACUCCCUCUAUUUUUUUUAAGUGUCCCACAAUAAAAAUUACAUAUAUCAAAAAAGUUGGAGUAUUACCUUUAUGUUCAUAUUUAUUAUUUUCAAAGUGUAAUAAAUUUAUUCUCAAUUUUUGAAAUAGGACACUUAAAAAGGGGUAAAAUAGAAACUUUGUCACAUUUUUAUUCACAAAUUUUGAAAUAGGACACUUAAAAAAGAACAAUAAAUUUAUCUUAAUAAGACACUUAAAAAAAACGGAGGGAGUACUCCCUUGGUCCCAUCCAAGUUAAUGUGUAAUUUUUUUUACUGUGCCAACGAAGUUGAUGUGUUUCCUUUUUUUAAAUAAAUUAAAUCUACUUUUCCAUUUACUCUUUUUUUAUUUCAUUUUUUCAUUUACUUUUUCAUUUCAUUUUUUCACUAAAUAUUAAUUUCUUAAAUCUCGUGCUCAAAAGAAACGCCUCAUCUUCGCUGAAACGGAGGGAGUAACUUUUGCUAAACUUCAUUUUGCUUACUUAAAUUAAUAUUUAAGAAGUACCAACACUAUAAACUCAUCUCAAUAAAUAGAUGUGCUCUUUCCCCCAUUUUCACUCUAUAUUUUAUUAUAUAAAAAUGUCAAAAGCAUGGAUUUAUAUAUAUUAUUAGUGAUUAUUAUUAAGUAUUAAAGGUGAAUAAAAAUGUAUUUAAAUUACUAAAAAAAAGUGUCCAGAAUAUCAAGAAUACUAUGAUAUUUAAGUUUUUCAUAAUAAUAAUAAUGGUAAAAUGUUUUUAUAUUUUUAUAAAACAUAGAAAGAAACGGAGAAGGCCUCAGUUUAAUAAUUAUUAUUAUAUAUAGUUACCACGACUUGUUAAUGCUUCAAAAUCGAAAACAAAUAUAAGAAAUUUGACAAAAAAAUAUAUUUUUUGUGGAGAUAUAUGUAGGAGAUAAAACAUGUCGUCAACACCAACAUUAAAAGAUUUAUUUGUACUUAAUAAUAUUUUAAGUAAUUAUUUGAUAUCCACAUAAAACAUGUACUUUUCUAUAUAAAAAUGACCUCCAAAUAUAGAGAGUUUUUUUUUUUAGGAAAAAAGUAAGCUCAACAUGCACAAUAUCCGUCAAUCAGGUUGGAAAGCUCGAUCUCCAGAUUAUUACACCAUUAGAUGAAAUAGCAAAAUUUGCCAAAACAUGGGCAGCCCUAUUGGCCUCUCGGCGAAUAUGACGGAAAUCAAGCACUAUCUUCUCCUUAGCAUGUACAAAUACAUCAUAAAACUCAUCACAGAGAGAGUCCAUAUAGGCAUACCCUUUGUCUUCUCGCUAAGAACGUGAAUCGCUACUCGCUAGCAUCAACUUAAUUUCAAUAAUUCUUAGUCAACUUAUAUUAAAUAGACAAAAGUACUUAUACUCAAUUUUACAUCACAAUUUUAUCUCUCUUAUCUCCUAAUCUCAUCGUGUUUCUUCUCUCUCUCUCUCUUCUUUUAUUCAAACGGAAUUAUCUCUAGAUUAUUUUCUCUCCCUCUUAGUUAUUUUCUCUGGCAGCAAUAUAGGUAAUUUUCUCCCUCUACAUUUAUAUUUUUUCGUCAUCUUCUCAAUUUAAAUCUGGCGACGUGGUUCUGGUGAUGUGGGUUCCUCUAUUAUUUUCUACGGAAAAUACUUUUCUCGUCAUCUUCCACAUUCAAAUACUUGUCAAGCAGUCAUUUUUUGUAUUUUCCUAUUAAAAUACUUAUUUUUUCGUGAUAUUUCAGCCAACUAUAUUUUGAAUACAUACUUUUUAAUUGUAUUCUAAAUCUAGUUCGAACAAGGGUUAUUUGUACUAGUUGUGGUACGUAUCAUCCUUGCUUGCCAUUCGAACAUGCGCUCAGCACGAAUACUACAAAAGAACUUAUUUGUACCAUUCGUGCCAAACAUUGGCGUGCUAAAUCUCGGAACGAAUGACAUGCAUUGAGUUUAUUCGAAUCAUUCGCACCAGCACUUGGCACGAAUGGUUCAAAAGGACCUAUAUGUACCAUUCAUUCCAAGAUUUGUCGUGCCAACACUUGGCAUGAAUGGUACGAAAGAACACAUCCAUACCAUUCAUCCAAAAAUAUGGCGCAAUAAGUUCCAAAAAAAAUAAAAUAAACAAUAACAUUGCAGUUUGUUCCAAUAAAUUCAACUAUAAUUCAUGAACAAAAUUCGAAUAAAAUAUACAAAAUAAUACGAAAUCUCACUGAUCUUAGUUAGAACUAACUAAAUGUCUAAAUCAAAUCUUCAUUUUCUAUGUAAGCGUUGCCCAUCAGCAUCGGUUGAUUUUGGAGAGGUGCACGAUAUUUUUGUCGGGGCGUCGAUGGUGGUGAAUCAAAUAACAAGAUGACUGGAAAUUGUUUUCUUCUUCACCCCAAGGAACGUCAGAUUUCUUAAAAUAUUGUUAUUAUCUUCUUAACUCGAUGGAUUCUUCGCAUGUGUAGGUUGAACCAUUCGUGCCAAUAUCUAUUGUAUUAACACAUAGCACGAAUGGUACGUACGAAUGGGUGAUGCGUACUAAUUCGUGUGAAAAAAAUGGCAGUUUGUUCCAACUACAGUUCAUGAACAAAAUCGAAUCAAAUGAGCAAAAUAAGAUGAAAUCUCAAAAAUCUCAGUAAGAUCUAAUUAAAUGCCUGAACUAACUCUUCAUUUUUUUUAGUAGAUCGGGAACUAGAUCUCACAGAUCUCGAUCAGAUAUACAGAUUUUUGAUACAAAGAAUGGAGUCGACAACGCAGCGGUGAUGGCAGACGAUGGAGCUCACAGAUGUUAUUUUUUGUUGGGUUAAAUGGAAGCGUCAAUCAUCGGCGACGGUGAAUCAGAGAAGAGGAUGUCUUGGCGCAGGUAAUGGCGACAAUGUUGCCAAAUUUUUAGAGAGCAUCAACAACUUUCAGUGAGAAAAAAAAGAAGAUCAAUAGAGAGAAACAUCUGAAUGAAAGAGAGAGAUUGAGUUGCAGAAGAGUGUGCGUAAUUUGUAUGCAUUACUUUAACCACACUUUGUAUGCAUUACUUUAAAGGUAAAACUUUUGUCCAAAGUAUUGAAAUUUAAUUAAAUCUUUUACAAAUUAAACUUAUGACUAAUUAUUAAUUUUCACCAUCUAUAAUACCUACUAUAAAUUUCACCUCAAAUAUAUAUGAUAUAGAUAAGGUGGAAUACAUAAGUUAUUAUACAUAUACAUGUGUCUCGUAACUAGGCAUGGGAAUCGGGUCGGGUUCGGGUACCCUACCCGAAAAAAUCGGGUACCCGAACCCGAAUAACACCGAAAAUCACUACUCGACCCCGACCCCAAAAAAAAAUCGGGUACCCUAAUACCUGACUCGGGUACCCGAGUCGGGUAUUCAGGUACGCUAAAUUACCCGGUCAAAAUCGCAUUUUUCAAGUUAAACUGUGAAAAUCGGGUAUUUCGGGUAUUAGGGUACCCGAAUUACCCAAUUUUGGCCUAAUCGGGUACUACUACUAUAUAUAUAUAUAUAUAUAUAUAUAUAUAUAUAUAUAAAAAUCGAAAAUAUAGCCCCCCUUAUUUUCAAUCGGGUAUUCGGGGUAUACCCGAUACCCGAUUUUCAGUCGCUCAAACUACCCGAUACCGAGCCCGACACCGAUUUUUUCGGGUAUUGGGUACCCGAUACCCGAUUUUUUUGGGUCGGGUAAUCGGGUACCCGAUACCCGAACCCUAUCUUCCCACCCCUACUCGUAACAAUAUAACUUGGAAUGAUCUACAUUUAAUAAUAAAAAAUAAAAAAAUAAAACUUGGAAUGAUCUAUAGCUAGUUUGUUUCUAGGGAUGACCAUGGAUCCUGGACCUUGUAAAAAAUGGACCCGAUGGAUCUGGACCGGAUUUGAGUUAUUCCCAUAAUUUUUGAAUCUGGAUCUGGAGCAAAAGUAAUGUGACCCAAAUUCGGUCCAAAUCCGACCCGCAGAUCCAGUUAUUAUAAAAAUAUAUACUCCCUCCGUCCGCCAAAAUUGGAACACUUUUACUAUAUCGGGCGUCCGCAAAGAGUAUACCACUUUUCUUUUAUAGAAAUGGUCUCACCAUCCACUUUAAUCUUCUAUCCUUACAAACUCUUUAUUUACAAAAAAAUCACUCAAAAUUCAAUCUCAACCACACAUCUCAUAAAGUGGUGGGACCCUUUCUCCACUACAUCAAAAUCAUCACCAAUUUUAUUAAAUCCCGUAUCCAGCCAAAAUGUUCCACUUUUGGCGGACGGAGGGAGUAUAAUUUUAUUUUAUUUUUAUCUAACUCUAAAUAUUUAUGCCUAAUCCAUACAUCUCUUUUCUUAUUUAUAAUAGGAGUAUAAUACAGUUAAAGAUAAUAUUUUACAUUUAUCUUAAUUUAAAUUUCAGUUGUGAUUAUAAUACCUUUUAUUUGUAUUGAUAAUUUUUUUUUUCAAUGUAAAAUAGAAGACACAUUCUUCCACUGUUACUUAAUAUUGUGAUGAAGUUAGAGAUAAAAUUUAUUUUAAUGAUACCAUAAAUAAUUUUCAUCUAAUUUGUACAGAUAUAAUUAAAAUAAGUGUGCACCUCAUUAUUCUACUACUAAAAUGUUAUUUAGUACUCCCUCCGUCCCAUUAGUAGUGUUCCAUUUCUUUUGGGCACGGAAUUAAGGAGUGUGUAGAAAGUAGAUAAAGUGGGUUGGUAGAAAUUAUUUAAAUAUUAGGUAUAGAGAGAGAGAGAAUAUUGUCAUACAGGGAAUGAGACACUACUAAUGGGAUAAUCCAAAAAGGAAAGUGAGACACUACUAAUGGGACCGAGGGAGUACUUGAUUAUUAUAUUCUUAUUUAUUUUGAAUUUUUAUAAUAUUUUCAUGGAUUAUGAUUUAAUUAUUUAUUUUUGAAUAAUUGUUGAAACAAAAAUUAUGAUUUUAUUUUUGGUUAAUUUAAGAUUUAUAAAUUUAUUUUAAAAGAGAAAAAAAAUAUAUGGAUCCGAGUCUGGACACGAUACCCUGUGGAUUUUAUUGAUAUGAACCUGAAUCUUAUUUUUUAGAGCCAAUGAAUUUGAACCAAAUCUAAAUCUAAGUAAGAAAAUUCGAAUUUGAAUCUGAACCAAACAGGAUUCGAUCCAAAUUAAGCUCAUCGCCAUCUCUAAUUGCUUCCAAUGACUAUAUCUAGUUUGCGAAGCAAGUGAUUUAUGAUCGAAGAAUAAAUAUAUUCUAAAAUAAAUACGUCACAUAAAAUUUACAUAACUCAUCAAUUUACUUAGGAGGGGUAUAUUCAAUUAAGAAUUUUAAAAAAUUUGACAGACUUUUUAUAAUAUGUGGAUUAUGUUAAUUCCAUGAAUUGUCUUAAUUUUAUGUAGAGUUUAACAAAUUCUAUUAAAUUUAUUUAUCUCUAUUUUCAUAGACUUUAUAAGUCUAUAGAAAUAUCUAUAAGAAAAACAUUAAACACGUUGCAUAAAACAUUAAACAAGAAUAAAAUUUUACCUUAUGAUUCCUGCUUCGAAAAUUGGCAUAAUGUGAAAGAUUAUACACACACUUGUAUCAGAAAGAUAUUAAGAUUCCUUAUGAGUCAUGCUUCUAAAAAUUGGCAUAAAAUGAAAAUUUAUUAUUUUCAAAAGACAUUAUAGCUAAGCAUUUAUUGCAACCUAGAGCUAAGCUUAUGUUUGAUGAGAUUAUCUCAAAAAAGAUGGACUCAAUGACUGCCUGGUAAGUUGGGCUUUUCCCGGUUCGCUCACUGUUACUAGGGGAAUCCUUGUAAGUUUCUUUUCCUCCGCUUAUUGAUAUGCUUAAACUCAAGGGGUAGAUGAUACGGGAUCUACAUUUCGUGAUGAAGAUGGUGCGACUUUUCUCUCUAGGGUUACUCUCCUUUGCUAUCGGAUCAGUCGUUCCGAAACUUCUCCGGCAGCCUCCAUCCAUCGUCCGGUACUGGUUUUUUUCGAUUCGGCGAUGGCAUCUGCAGCGUUCCCAAAAUUCUCAAAUAAUUUCGAUCCUCCUCUAUUGUUUCAGGCUGCGUCUUCAACUAUUCACAAGAAGCCCUCUUCAUCUGCGAUGUUUUGGUCUCUUGCUGCCGACGAUAUGACCGGCGCGUUGUUCCCCGAGAUAUCUGUGGCUGCGCAUGCUUCUAGGGUUCCGACGCAUGAUACUGAUCUGCUUCAGCCGCUGCUAACUUCUGCAACUAGGGUUUCCGCUUCUCUUUUACUUUCGAUCAAUCAGCAGGUGGUUGGUCCUAUUGCCGGUGCUCUGUCCUCUUCUGUCGAAAUCGUGGAUGCUUUGUUCAUCUCUGGCCGAUAGUUCUAACGACCCAAUCCAGCCAUGAGCAGCCAAUUCAGUCCAGUUGCCGCCUUUUUUCGCUAACCCUACUUCUAGGGUUGAUGGGGCACACCAGCUGAUAUUCUUAGGGUUCCUGGGUUCCAGCCAUCGUUGGCUGUUCCUCACGCUAACGUUCAGGAUGUUGCCUCUUCUACCUUGCUUUCAGUCGGGGGUUCUUCAGGGUCUCAGUUGCUGCAGUCGGGUGUUGGGGUUCAAUUUUUGGAUGUUGCUCAAAGUCAGGUUCGGGGGCCGAAAGUUGUUAGCUCCCCAAUCAGGCCCUGCUCUAACUCCAUUGGCAUUCUUUUCCUAAAAACGGCAAAUAUGCUGCCGUUGGUCUCGAGUGUUCAGCAUGUUCUUUCGCCAUAUGGUCCUCCAUCGCCGUCUUAUACGACCAAAUCCUUCGUGGAUACUCUCAAAACGAAGGUUGGGCAUCCUGAUGAUGUUCCGGCGCAUGAUUUCGCCGUCUUAAAGCCUACAAUGGAGGAUGAUAGACCUUGUCUCACCUUAUCUUCGGCCUUUCGUCAACGAUAAGUUCAGUCUUUUCAACACACUAUUCAUGCUCGUCUUUUUCUACGCAAGGGUGAUACGCCGAGGUUUGCGGCUGACCUUUACACGGAGAUUUCGGGCUUUGGAAACCCUCGUUACCCUGGGAGGUUAUCCCUCUUGGCAAAGGUUUUUUUAUGUUGAAGUUCUCCUCUCAUGAGGAUUAUGCGGUUGCUUUCUCUAAAGCUUACUGGCGCAUUCGCACCGGUAUUAUUCAUCUCCAAUCUUGGGCUCAUAACUUCAAUCCCCAUAAGGCUGCAUCCUCUAUGGUUCAGGUAUAGCUUCGUAUCUUCAAUCUCCCGCAUGAAUUUUGGCAUCCUGAGAUUCUUUCUGGCAUUGUUAGGCAUGUGGGUACUCCUAUUAUCAUUGAUUGUAUGUCUGCUAGAGCCUCUAUCAAUUAUUUUGCGUAGGUUCUUGUUGAGAUGAAUGUGACUUCUGAGAUUCUUGAGUUUUUAGAUGUGAAGUGUGAUGAUGAUUUAUGUGAAAUUGAGUUUGGAUAUGAGAAUUUGCCAUAUUUUUGUUGUAUUUGCUCUGUGGUUGGCCAUGCUAAUGACGACUACAGGAAACUUAGUUCUGAGACGGAUCCUACGUCUCCGAUCAAACACAACGGGCAUGAUGUUUAGAAAUUAUGUGGUCAUGUCUAGUGGCCCAAAUCCGCUGAGGCUCGGACCUCUACGGUUGAUGGCAGUUUGAAUGAUUCUCAUGAUUUGAUAGUAGCUUCGACUGAGGCUGGGGUGGUUGGUGUUUCGACCUCUAACUCUAUUGCUUUGCUUGAGGGUGGAGAGUUCUUGGAAGUUGAUACUAGGAAGGGGCCGGAGGACAUGGAUAUUGUCACACCUAAACAGCCACAUCAUUUCUCUAGUUUUGCGGUUUCAAAGUUGGGUCGGGAUUUGAUUACGGUGGUCGACAACCCCGUCAUUGGUGUGCGUUUUAAGAAUUCUGUGACACCUUCAGCUGACACCUAUUCGAGUGGGAAGCCUGGUAUGCCUCGGUCUCUCCCACGAGAGGAGAGGUUAAUAGACAGGAACCUAUUGCAGGCGUUCUAUCCUCUUAACCUCAAUGCCAAAUGGGUCCGAACUCACCUCAUCCCAAAAAGCUGGCAGAUCUUCGUCCUCCUUUACCUCAGGGCCGGGCAGGGGCGGGAAGAAUAAUAAUAUGACACGGGGCUGAACAGAUUCAGUUAUGUCUCCUUCAGGAACUCUCCCACUACAGGGGGUGUUACCAUUGACCCACCCAAGCAGAUCGGAUGAGGGAAGAAUUGAGCCCCGUCGCGUCUCUUCCAGUUCUCCGGUUGAAUUCUUGGAUAAAGUUUUUGUUGCUCAUUCUGUGGGUGUUGUUAUUCAUGGAUUCAUUGAUUCUUCCUCCUCUCGCGCCUCUAAGAAUAUGUCUGGGGUGGCUAAUCGGAAAUGAGGAGAUAUGGAUGAUGAUGAUGUUGAUCCUUUUCGAGAGGAUGACCUUUUUCACAAUUAUCAAUGAAUGUGCUUUCUUGGAAUAGUAGAGGCAUGAACAACAAUGCAAUGCCUUUUCUUUGUCAUUACUGCAGCACUUACCAGUCGAGUAUUCUUGGAAUUCUGGAUCCCAAGUCUCGGUUUUCUGGCAUUCCAAGUUCCUAUUAGCGUUCUUUAAGUCUUAUUCCGGUUCACUAGAAUGAUCGUAGUCGGCGGUCUUCUAACAUUUAGGUUUUCACUGAUCAUUUGUUAGCUCAUGUUGUGGUUUUCUCUUCAGAUCAGGUUGUUAUUAUUCGGUGUGAUAUUAUGGGGCUCUCCACUACCCUGGCCUUUACUCAUGCGUCUUGCAGUUAUAUUAAGCGCCGUCAGCUGUGGCAGGAUGUUGAGCCUUUUAUUGAUGGCCCUUUUCUUAUGAUCGGGGAUUUUAACUCGAUUCUAGGUGCUCAUGAACAUCGUGGACGUCGUGUUCCUGCCUCGUCCCCCUGUAGUGAAUUCAGGGCUUUCAUUGAGGAUCAUGAUCUUAUUCAGCCUGAGUCCACUGGCCCGUUUUUCACUUGGACAGACCGUCGGCAUUUUCCUUCCCCGGUGGAGUCUAUUCUAGAUAGAGCUCUGUUCUUCCAGGAGUUCUCCGAUAUUUGGCAUUCUUCCUCUGUUCUGGUUCUCCCCAAUUAGAAUCGGAUCAUUCUCCUAUUCUUUUGAGAUGUCAGGAUUAUGUUAUUAUCCCUACUCACCGUCGGUUUCAUUUUCUCAACAUGUGGUGCACUCACGAGGGGUUUUCUGGAUCAGGUCCAGGCUUCUUGGGCUCUUCCGGUUGAUGUGCUUUGUCUUAUGGUUCGUGUGAUGAGGAAGUUGAAGCGCCUUCGGCCGAUUUUAAAAGCUUGGAAUUUGGAUGCUUUUGGGAUUUACAACACGGCUUUAGCUGAUCUUCAGCAGGAUAUGAGUGCGCUUUAGGAGGGGAUUGAUGAACAUGGUUACACUACUGAUCUUUUCGACCAAGAGGUAUAGUUGCAAGCCCGGAUUGGCACGCUCUUGAUGCGCAAGUCUGAGCAUCUUAGGCAGUAGAGCAGCGUUUCCUGGCUUUCAGAUGGCAAGAGGAAUACCAGGUUCUUUCACUCCAUGGUGAAGUGGCGCCACUUCAGUCAGGCCAUCAAAAGUCUAAGCAUUGAUGGGGUUAUUUCUGAGGACACGGCUACUAUGGCUGCGCAUGUGGUGGAUUUUUAUGAGACUCACUUUUCAGAGCCGAAUUCUGAUGCGGUGGACCGUUCUUGGAUUUUGAACUACAUUCCGGUUUCUAUUUUUGCUGCUCAUUCUGAGAUGUUCAUUGCCUCUCCUUCGGCGAACGAUAUUCGCGCUGUGAUUUUUUCUAUGGAUAAAGAUAGUGCGCCUGGUCCGGAUGGUUUUAAUGGUGCUUUCUUUCAGCAUUCUUAGGAUGUGGUGGGGGAGGAUGUUGUGGCGGUGGUUCGCCGUUCCUUUUCUCAUGGGUACCUCUCCAGUGGCCUCAAUUCGAAUCUUCUUUGUUUACUCCCUAAGAAGAUAAAUACGGUACUCAUCACUGAUUAUAGGCCCAUCGUGUUGGGUGACACACACCCGUCGUGCGGUGCGGACAAAAUACCUGUGUAUGCCCAGUACAGACAAUACACGCUCCUACUUCUCACAAUAAGAACUUAGCCUUAGCGGUAAGUGUAGGGUCGAAUCCACAGGGAGUGAGGAACCACUUUGUUCUCCUACGACAAACUGAGGUGUCACAAUUCUCAAUCUGUAUACUCUGCACAAGAAAUAAACAAGAUCAAUAAUAACAAAGGGGCGAGGUUAUUCGGUUAGGUCAUAACUGUUGUUAACAUUCGUUUCGGUCAUAGGCAUACUGAUGAUCCGUCUAUAAUCCAUACAAGCCCGAGGCGUGGCCCAAAGACAUUGGGGCGUUUCAAGGGGUUAUACUUCACAUAUAGGAUGGUUGAUCUCAUUGUGGUCACUUGGUCCGAAGGUCACACAAUCCCCGGUCACAAGGCAAUGCUUCACUCCUCCUUAGAUAGUAGCCAUACCCGUUACUCACCAAGCAUGGCCCUCAUCAACCUUCUCUCCCGAGGUCCCCAACUCCACGCUUUUAGUGACACAUGCCUCCUGGACUCAACUAUUUCCGGCUUUGUCAGCCGACCAGUCAUAGACAUGCUACGGCGCCGAGAUUGCUUUCCUCGUUCGAUAACCAUGGCUUUAUGCCUCGUCACAGUUGAUGGAUAGUCUCUAGAGAAGCCCAAGGCUGAAGAAGGGCAGUGUAUCCCAUCAACCCUUUCCCCACCUUCUGGAUCUACAACGCCUUUUGUUGACGCUGUUCAGCUACUCGGUCUUGGGCAUACCGAUUGUUGUACCUUGGUAUACCCUGGCCUUUGCCUGACAUGGGCAGCGUUUUACCGAACGGAGAUCACCCGUUAGACCCCUACUGCCCAUGGUUUCGAACAGAUCCUUCCGGAACCACGAGAUUCAACCGAAAGAACAAGUGCCUCACGAAUGUUUACAUGUUAACAACAAUUAUUUCCACCCCUAAAACCUCACCAAGGGAAUUACUCACACAUAACGCAAUUCAUAAAUACAAAAGGGAUUAAACACAUCAAAGAACGAAAAGAAAUGCUGAAAUAGAUAAAUAGUACCUAGGCUUCAAGCCUUCGAACUUGUUCAAAAGUAGAAACACAACGGGAAAAUGGAAAAGCACGAAAAUGUAAUUGUUUUGGAUGCCACACACGGCGAACUUAAUUGAAUACUAAAAGUAAAAACAAGAGUUUCAAGGUGCCAAGAGCCUCUUCACGCUGCACACCAUUAGUCUUUUAUACUGCCGGAGGGUAAAGGCCUAACCCUAGCUGCGCCGGUUCCAAAUCUUCGCCGGGAUCUUCUUUCCUUAAUUAGCUCGAUUUGAUUGAUCCUGAUUGAAGAUGGCGUCCAGCUGCAAGCUUAGUCAACCUUUCCCAUUCCCUCGAUCCUUCCAGUUUCUUCUCCCACCUUCUACUUGUUUCUUCGAGAUCUCCGAGAUUGACCUUCCUUUUAUGGCUCUGGCUGUCUGCUUCUCAUGGUAACGAUCAGACGGAUUGCUCUCUUUGGUGUGACUUAUACCAGGUGGGUUGCUCCAGGUUCCCAUGCCCCAAGUUGAAUUGGAGAGGUACUUGUUGGCCGAAGCUCCAUGCUGGUAAACAUGACUUAGCAAUCCAGGCUCGGUAAUGCCCAUUCUGACCGCAUUUCUUCCGUUUCCGCUCUACUGACCUUCCUUCCUUCACAACUUCAUUUUUCCCCCUGACAGACCUGUACCGACACAAAUAAAGGGAAAAAUAGGGCCAAAUGGCCCAAAAGUCGAAGACGCAUCAUUGGGCAACUUCUUUUUCAAGAUCAUCACCAAGAUUCUGGCCUCUAGGUUGAAUGUGGCGGCGGCUGAGAUUGUGUCGACUAUUCAGUUUGGGUUUAUUUCUGGCCGGUCUAUUCAAGAGUGCAUUCUUCUGGCCUCUGAAGGGGUCAACUGCAUGGAGCGUUCGUUGCAGGGCCAGAACUUGGCUCUUAAGGUUGAUAUCAAGAAGGUGUUUGAUACUCUUAGCUGGGACUUUGUUGAUACUGUUUUGGAAUGUUUUGGUUUUCCUCAGACUUUUCGGCAGUGGAUCAGAGUCAUCUUUAUGUCGGCUUGGAUCUCUGUCCUCUUUAACGGGGAGCAGCACGGUUAUUUUGGUUGCUCACGGGGAGUUUGCCAGGGCGACCCCUUGUUGCCGGUUCUUUUUGGUUUGGCAGAAGAGGUGUUGAACCGCCUUCUUUUGGAGGGGCGGACAUGGGUUAGAUUGCUCGGAUGAAAAUGUCUUGAGCUUUGCUAUUUUCCUCCCAUUUGCUUUAAGCAGACGAUGUUCUA
RNAcentral lists this long non-coding RNA (50214 nucleotides) under Salvia miltiorrhiza (redroot sage). RNAcentral's name for it is "long non-coding RNA (SMIL_LNC007609)". The record is from RNAcentral. Lineage: Eukaryota; Viridiplantae; Streptophyta; Magnoliopsida; Lamiales; Lamiaceae.